GUCUUGAAGACUGUUAAUACCGUAUUGGUGUCUCUGGGGUGGCUUUCUGUGGCCUUCGGAAUUAGGAGAUCUUCGCCAAUUUUGGCCACCUGCCGGACUAUCCAACAUGCUCUAAGGCUGUGAGUUGGUGUGGCGUCCUCUGUACUGUGAAUUUUACAGGGUCCAUUGAGCCAUCCUUCCAGUACGGUUCCAUGCCCUAUAGAGGGUUUUUGCUUUUUGGUGUUUGACCCGGGUGUCUGGCGAUGAUGCACCCUUUUAUUUCGGACUGGGUUUGUAUUCAGGGCCGGAUCGUCCCAAAAUAUUUCGGUUUUCCAGGCGCUUUCCAUCGCAUAGUACUUACGUACGAUGGACGCAAAGUCAGCGAAGCGUGUAAUAUCACAGCGACUUAUGGCAUUGAGGAUUCCCUUGUCCGUGCAAUUAUUGCAGAAGAUUGAGAUUGCGUCUUCCUCGUGGCAGUCCCUUAUCCUGUUCCUAACCAGGAGGAAUCUGGCCCAGUAAUGAUGUACUGUUUCUUCGGGCUCUUGCCUGAUUUGGGAUAGAUCGCUUGUGUUCGGGUGGGUGGGUGGAAUUAAAUCCGAAGCCUCACCCAAUCUGAGGCUCAGAGGCCGAGGAGUUUCCGAACUCGAAAAUUUGGAUUCCUGGAUGUUGUCCAAUGAAUCCAGCCCGUCGCCUGACUCUAAGUUCAGGUCUUGAGUGAUAUCCUCCCCUCCGCGGGUAUCCGUCUUGGAGGGAUCGGGAAUCCGGACGUAGCUAGUCCUUAAGAUAGAUGAAGGGUUGCCGCACUGUCCCUCUACCACGGCAACAUGAUGGGUGACUUGGGGAGAGUUAAUCUCUCUUAGAUCGGGUUUAGGCCCAAUCUGGUCGUAAUCCGUAACGACUCCCUGGGCGGCGAUGCGAUCCAAGAGCUUGUUUAUGGAGGAGAGCUCCAUUGGAUCUAACUUCUCGGCAAGUUCCGAGCUGACAUGAAGAUUGUUUUCGAUGGCUCGAGAGGUCAUCGUCGGCGUAGAAGCCGAACAGGUGGUCAUAAGAAAACAACCUAGCCGGAGGGUUUGGCCUCCCUUAGCAACGGUGCCGUCUUUAAAGACGGGGCGAGGCAUCCUUCCUGAUGGCGACGACACAGAGGAACUCUCAAUGAAAGCACUAAUGUCGGUGUCAAAAUCGGCGGAUCUCGGGUAGGGGGUCCCGAACUGUGCGUCUAGGCCGGAUGCUAACAGGAGGCAAGGAACACGAAGUUUUACCCAGGUUUGGGCCCUCUUGAUGGAGGUAAAACCCUACGUCCUGCUUGAUUAAUAUUGAUGAUAUGGGUAGUACAAGAGUAGAUCUACCACGAGAUCGGAGAGGCUAAACCCUAGAAGCUAGCCUAUGGUAUGAUUGUUGUUCUCUAUGUUGUCCUACGGACUAAAACCCUCUGGUUUAUAUAGACACCGGAGAGGGUUAGGGUUACACAAAGUCGGUUACAAUGGUAGGAGAUCUACAUAUCCGUAUCGCCAAGCUUGCCUUCCACGCCAAGGAAAGUCCCUUCCGGACACGGGACGAAGUCUUCAAUCUUGUAUCUUCAUAGUCCAGGAGUCCGGCUGAAGGUAUAGUCCGGCCAUCCGGACACCCCCUAAUCCUGGACUCCCUCAGUCCCAUUUGCCCCAGUUCCAGAGGCCCAUUUUGUCCCAGUUCUAGAACUGGGACUAAAGGGUCGGGUCUAAAGCCCAAUACCUUUAGUCCCGGUUCGCUUAUGAACCGGGACAGAUGGGGCUUCACGUGACCGCUGCGGCUUGCCCAGGCAGGAGGGCCUUUAGUGCCGGUUGGUAACACCAACCAAGACCAAAAAGCAUCCACGCGUCAGCAGUUCAGGGGCUGGUUUUUUUAAAGGUGGGAGGGGGUUUGGAGGUUUUGGACGGUUAAUUUAGUGGUUUCAUAUAUUGUGUUAGCUAACUAAUAGAGAGAAGUGCCCCUCUUACCUCCGUGCUUGGUCGACGCUAUGUACUAUACGUAUAGAGAAAACUUGCGACACACUAGCUAGUAAGCAAAUGAAGGAAACCAUUAAGUACACAAGAUCGUCAUGAACAUUUACAGAGAGAAGUGAUCGACCUCCUCCUUCUCCGUGAGAUUGAUCGAACAACAAGUUUUCGUAUAUCUAUCUGACGCUACUAGCUACAUAUACACAAUCUAAGAUCUCUUACAAUCCCUAACAUCUGAAGUCACGUUCCACAUGGUAUUCUCCGGCUUUAUUGAUGAUGUGGUCAAGAAAUAAUCCCGCCAAUUCCUCUUGAAUUGCUUUUAUGCGAUCUUGUGGUAGGAGAUCAUCCUGCAUCUGCUAGAUCUAAAUCGAAGAAGAUGGUCAAUACAUGUGUAUGAGAACAUACGGGGUGGUUGGGGGCCGGCUGGGCUAGCUGGAGUGCGUGCGUGGUUCAAAAGGAAACGCUGGCAAAUGUGAUAUAUUUGUGGGAUAAAAAAUGGGAGGAAACAAAACGAGACUAAUCAAUGAGCUAUGGAUAUGCCCAUCAAUUGAUGUUAAUGCAAGGAGUAGGGAUUGCCAUGCAACGGAUGCACUAGAGCUAUAAAUAUAUGAAAGCUCAACAAAAGAAACUAAGUGGGUGUGCAUCCAACUUGCUUGCUCACGAAGACCUAGGGCAUUUGAGGAAGCCCAUUGUUGUAAUAUACAAGCCAAGUUCUAUAAUGAAAAGUUCCCACUAGUAUAUGAAAGUGAAAAAACAAAAGACUCUCUAUCAUGAAGAUUAUGGUGCUACUUUGAAGCACAAGUGUGGUAAAAAGGAUAGUAACAUUAUCCCUUCUCUCUUUUUCUCUCAUUUUUUGGGCCUUCUCUUUUUUUGUCCUUUCAUUUUUUCCUCACUUGGGACAAUGCUCUAGAAAAUGAUGAUCAUCACACUUCUAUUUAUUUACAACUCAAUGAUUACAACUCGAUACUAGAACAAAGUAUGACUCUAUACGAAUGCCUCCGGCGGUGUACCGGGAUAUGCAAUGAACCAAGAGUCACAUGUAUGAAAGGAUUAUGAAUGGUGGCUUUGUCACAAAUACUAUGUCAACUACAUGAUCAUGCAAAGCAAUAUGACAAUGAUGAAUGUGUUACGAUAAACGGAAUGGUGGAAAGUUGCGUGGCAAUAUAUCUUGGAAUGGCUAUGGGAAUGCCAUAAUAGGUAGGUAUGGUGGCUGUUUUGAGGAAGAUAUAAGGAGGUUUAUGUGUGAAAGAGCGUAUCAUAUCACGGGGUUUGGAUGCACCGGCGAAGUUUGCACCAACUCUCAAUGUGAGAAAGGGCAAUGCACGGUACUGAAGAGGCUAGCAAUGAUGGAAAGGUGAGAGUGCGUAUAAUCCAUGGACUCAACAUUAGUCAUAAAGAACUCACAUACUUAUUGCAAAAAUCUACAAGUCAUCAGAAACCAAGCACUACACGCAUGCUCUUAGGGGGAUAUAUUGGUAGAAAAAGACCAUCGGUCGUCCCCGACCGCCACUCAUAAGGAAGACAAUCAAAGAACACCUCAUGUUUCAAAUUUGUUACUUAACGUUUACCAUACGUGCAUGCUACGGGACUUGCAAACUUCAACACAAUUAUUUUUCAAAUUCACAACUACUCAACUAGCACAACUUUGAUAUCACUACCUCCAUAUCUCAAAACAAUCAUCAAGCAUCAAACUUUUCUUAGUAUUCAACACACUCAUAAGAAAGUUUUUACUAGUCUUGAAUACCUAGCAUAUUAGGAUUAUUUAAGUAAAUUACCAUGCUAUUUAAGACUAUCAAAAUAAUCUAAGUGAAGCAUGAGAGAAUAAUAGUUUCUAUAAAACAAAUCCACCACCGUGCUCUAAAAGAUAUAAGUGAAGGACUAGAGCAAAAACUAUAUAACUCAAAAGGUAUAAGUGAAGCACAUAGAGUAUUCUAAUAACUUCCGAAUCAUGCGUGUCUCUCUCAAAAGGUUUGUACAACAAGGAUGAUUGUGGUAAACUAAAAAACAAAGACUCAAAUCAUACAAGACGCUCCAAGCAAAACACAUAUCAUGUGGUGAAUAAAAAUAUAGCUCCAAGUAAAGUUACCGAUGGAAGUAGACGAAAGAGGGGAUGCCUUCCGGGGCAUCCCCAAGCUUUAGCUUUUAGGUGUCCUUAGAUUAUCUUGUGGUGCCAUGGGCAUCCCCCUGCUUAGUCUCUUGCCACUCCUUGUUCUAUAAUCCAUCAAAUCUUUCAUCCAAAACUUGAAAACUUCACAACAUAAAACUUAAAGUAGAAAAUCUCGUGAGCUCCGUUAGCGAAAGAAAACAAAACACCACUUCAAGGUACUGUAAUGAACUCAUUCUUUAUUUAUAUUGGUGUUAAACCUACUGUAUUCAAACUUCUCUAUGGUUUAUAAACUAUUUUACUAGCCAUAGAUUCAUUAAAAUAAGCAAACAACACACGAAAAACAGAAUCUGUCAAAAACAGAACAGUCUGUAGUAAUCUGUAGCUAACGCACAAUAUGGAACCCCAAAAAUUCUAAAAUAAAUUGCUGGACGUGAGGAAUUUAUCUAUUAAUCACCUUCAUACAGACUUAACUAAAUAUCACUUUCCAAAUAAAAAUGGCAGCAAUUCUCGUGAGCGCUAAAGUUUCUGUUUUUUACAGCAAGAUUAAAAAGACUUUCCCCAAGUCUUCCGAACGGUUCUACUUGGCACAAACACUAAUUAAACACAAAAAACACAACCAAAACAAAGGCUAGAUAAAUUAUUUAUUACAAAACAGGAGCAAAAAGCAAGGAAUAAAAAUAAAAUUGGGUUGCCUCCCUACAAGCGCUAUCGUUUAACGCCCCUAGCUAGGCAUAAAAAGCAAGGAUAGAUCUAGGUAUUGCCAUCUUUGGUAGGCAAUCCAUAAGUGGAUCUCAUAAUAGAUUCAUAUGGUAAUUUUAUUUUCUUUCUAGGAAAGUGUUCCAUGCCUUUCCUUAAUGGAAAUUGGAAUCUAGUAUUUCCUUCCUUCAUAUCAAUAAUUGCACCGAUUGUUCUAAGGAAAGGUCUACCAAGAAUAAUAGGACAUGAAGGAUUGCAAUCUACGUCAAGAACAAUAAAAUCUACGGGCACAUAGUUCCUAUUUACAACCAUAAUAACAUCAUUAAUUCUUCCCAUAGGUUUCUUAAUAGUGGAAUCCGCAAGGUGCAAGUUUAAAGAGCAAUCAUCAAAAUCACGGAAACCUAGCAAAUCACACAAAGUCUUCGGAAUCGUGGAAAAACUAGCACCCAAAUCACACAAAGCAUAGCAUUCGUGAUCUUUAAUUUUAAUUUUAAUAGUAGGUUCUCACUCAUCAUAAAGUUUUCUAGGGAUAGAAACUUCCAACUCAAGUUUUUCUUCAUAAGAUUGCAUCAAAGCAUCAACGAUAUGUUUAAUAAAAGCUUUAUUUUGACUAUAAGCAUGAGGGGAAUUUAGCCCGGAUUGCAACAAGGAAAUAGAAUCUAUCAAAGAGCAAUUAUCAUAAUUAAAUUCCUUGAAAUCCAAAAUAGUGGGUUCAUUAAUAUUUAAAGUUUUGACUUCUUCAAUCCCACUUUUAACAAUUUUAGCAUUAAGAUCUAAAGACUCCGAAUUCUUGGAACGCCGUCUAGGUAAAGGUGGAUCAUAUUCAAUCCCAUAAUCAGAAAGAUUCAUAUUGUAAAACAAAGAUUUAAUAGGGGACACAUCAAUAACUUUUAGAUCUUCAUCUUUAUUAUCAUGGAAACUAGAAGAACACGCUUUUAUAAAGCAAUCUUUCUUAGCAGGCAUCCUAGCGGUUCUUUCUUUGCACUCGUCAAUGGAAAUUCUCGUGGCUUUGAGAGACUCAUUGAUAUCAAGCUUAGGUGGAAUAGAUCUAAGUUCCAAAGAAUCAACAUCAAGAGAAAUUCUAUCAACGUUCCUAGCCAACUCAUCAAUCUUAAGCAAUUUUUCUUCAAUCAAAGCAUUGCAAUUCUUUUGCGAAGUAAUAAAUUCUUUAAUAUUAGAUUCAAAAUCAGAGGGAAUCUUAUUAUAAUUUCCAUAAGAAUUGUUGUAGGAAUUACCAUAAUUAUUAGAGGAAUUACUAGGAUACAGCCUAGGAUUAAAGUUUCCUCUAUACGCGUUGUUACCAAAAUUAUUCCUACCAACAAAAUUCACAUCCAUAGUUUCAUUAUUAUUCUCAAUCAAAAUAGACAAAGGCAUGUCAUUAGGAUCAGAAGAAACACUUUUAUUAGCAAAUAAUUACAUAAGUUCAUCCAUCUUUCCACUCAAAACAUUAAUUUCUUCUAUCGCAUGCACUUCCUUAUUAGUAGAUCUUUCAGUGUGCCAUUGAGAAUAAUUAACCAUAAUAUUAUCUAGGAGUUUAUUAGCUUCUCCUAAAGUGAUUUCCAUAAAUGUGCCUCCCGCGGCCGAAUCUAAAAGAUUUCUAGAAGCAAAAUUCAAUCCGGCAUAAAAAUUUUCUGUAAUCAUCCACAAAUUCAAGCCAUGUGUAGGGCAAUUACGUAUCAUUAAUUUCAUCCUCUCCCAAGCUUGUGCAACAUGUUCAUGAUCAAGUUUCUUAAAAUUCAUAAUAAAGUUUCUAAGAGAGGUUGUCUUAGCGGGAGGAAAAUACUUAGAGAUAAAAGCAUCUUUGCACUUAUUCCAAGAAUCAAUACUAUUUUUAGGCAAAGACGAAAACCAAGCUUAUGCACGAUCUCUAAGCGAAAAAGGAAAUAGCUUCAAUUUAACAAUAUCAUUAUCCACAUCUUUCUUCUUUUGCAUAUCACACAAAUCAACGAAGCUAUUUAGAUGGGUAGUGGCAUCUUCACUAGGAAGACCGGCGAAUUGAUCUUUCAUGGCAAGAUUCAACAAAGCAGCAUUGAUUUCACAAGAUUCAGUAUCGGUAAGAGGAGCAAUCGGAAUGCUAAGGAAACCAUUGUUGUUGGUAUUGGUGAAGUCACACAAUUUAGUAUUAUCUUGAGCCAUCGUGACAAGCAAGCAAUCCAGCACACAAGCAAACAAGAGACGGGCAAAAAGAGGCAAACAGAGAAAGAGAGGGAGGAUGGAGAGAGAGAGGGUGAAUAAAACGGCAAGGGUGGAGGAAAAUGAGAGGCAAAUGGAAAAUAAUGUAAUGCGGGAGAUAAGGGUUUGUGAUGGGUACUUGGUGUGUUGACUUUUGCGUAGACCUCCCUGGCAACGGCGCUAGAAAUCCUUCUUGCUACCUCUUGAGCACUUGCGUUGGUUUUCCCUUGAAGAGGAAAGGGUGAUGCAACAAAGUAGCGUAAGUAUUUCCCUCAAUUUUUGAGAACCAAGGUAUCAAUCCAGUAGGAGGCCACGCAUGAGUCCCUCGCACCUACACAAACAAAUAAAUCCUCGCAACCAACGCGAUAAGAGGUUGUCAAUCCCUACAGGUCACUUACGAGAGUGAGAUCUGAUAGAUAUGAUAAGAUAAUAUUUUUGGUAUUUUUAUGAUAAAGAUGCAAAGUAAAAUAAAUGGCAAAGGAAAUAACUAAGUAUUGGAAGAUUAAUAUGAUGGAAAAUAGACCCAAGGGCCAUAGGUUUCACUAGUGGAUUCUCUCAAGAGCAUAAGUAUUCACGGUGCGUAAAGAAAUUACUUUGAGCAAUUGACAAAAUUGAGCAUAGUUAUGAGAAUAUCUAGGUAUGAUCAUGUAUAUAGGCAUCACGUCCGAGACAAAUAGACCGACUCCUGCCUGGAUCUGCUACUAUUACUCCACACAUCGACCACUAUCCAGCAUGCAUCUAGAGUAUUAAGUUCAAGAGAAUAGAGUAACGCUUUAAGCAAGAUGACAUGAUGUAGAGGGAUAAACUCAUGCAAUAUGAUAUAAACCCCAUCUUGUUAUCCUCGAUGGCAACAAUACAAUACGUGCCCUGCUGCCCCUACUGUCAUUGGGAAAGGACACCGCAAGAUUGAACCCAAAGCUAAGCACUUCUCCCAUUGCAAGAAAGAUCAAUCUAGUAGGCCAAACCAAACUGAUAAUUCGAAGAGACUUGCAAAGAUAACCUAUCAUACAUAAAAGAAUUCAGAGAAGAUUCAAAUAUUGUUCAUAGAUAAACUUGAUCAUAAACCCACAAUUCAUCGGUCUCAACAAACACACCGCAAAAGAAGAUUACAUCGAAUAGAUCUCCACAAGAGAGGGGGAGAACUUUGUAUUGAGAUCCAAAAAGAGAGAAGAAGCCAUCUAGCUAAUAACUAGACCCGUAGGUCUGAGGUAAACUACUCACACUUCAUCAGAGAGGCUAUGGUUUUGAUGUAGAAGCCCUCCGUGAUCGAUGCCCCCUCCGACGGAGCUCGGGCACUACUAGGGAAAAGCCUAUACACAGAAUUUUACCAGUAGCGCUGUACAAAGUCAAGCGCUGCUGCUACUUAGUAGCCGCGCGCGUAAAUAAACCGCGCUACUGCUAUGACUUUAGUAGUAGCGCGUACUAGCGAAAAGCGCUGCUGCUAUGUUUGAACUGGGCACACAUGGCUAGCCCAACCUAGCAGUAGCGCGUAUAAUGGCCCAGCGCUACUGCUAAUCUCCUCAGCUGCAGCGCGCUUACGUGUAAAGCGCUGCUGCUAACGGAAAUAAAAUAAAGUGAAAAACAAGUAGAAAAGUAAAUGAAAAUGGAAGAAAUAGAAAAAGGAGGAAGGGAAAAAAUAAAAUGUAAAGAAAAAUAAAAGAAAAAGGCAAAAAAGGAGAAAGGAAUAGCAGUAGCGGAUUCUGCAGAAAAUCGCUAUAGCUGCAGCGUGUAUUCCAGAACGCGAUGUAGCUAACAUAGCAGUAGCGCCCUUUCUGGAACGCGCUACUGGUACUUCUGACUUAACCACGCGGUUCGUCCUUCCCCACGGCCACUUCAUCCCCCAAAUCAACUCCACUCUCGCCGCCGCCGCCGCCCCUCGGCUGCCGCGCGCUCUCCCCACGCCGCCCCCGACCCCAGAUUCAAUGCCGGCCCCGCCCCCGACCUCAACGCCGCCCGGGACGCCGCCCCGGAGGCCGCCCCCGCCCCCCCGACCUCAACGCCGCCCCGGAGCCCCAACCACGACCUCGACGCCGCCUGCCCCUACCUCGUCGCAGGCACCCGAGGUGAGCACGCCUGCUCCUCCCUCUCCCCUACCUCUGCCUAGGGUUUCUACCUCCAUCAAAUUAGUUAGGGUGGAAACGAAUCGGAUGCAGAUGCGGCUCAAAUGAGUUAGGGUUCAUGUAAGGGUGGAAACGAAUCAAAUUUCUAAGAUGAAUCAUAAAACAAGUAAAAUUUGACCACUUAUUUCACUUUAUAGUUGGAUAAUUGGAAUAUCCGCUACCACUUUCCACCCCUAUAGGUUCAUCAAAUUAGAUGGUAAUUAGGGCAGUAGUUCUUAGGUACUAAUUAGUUAGUAAGAACUAGGUACUAAUUAGGUACUAGAAUAUUUUUAUUUAUAGUAAGUUUAUUUUUAGUAAGAACUAGUUGAAUUAAUAGAACUACUUAGUAAGAACUUGGUGCUAUUUUUUAGUUAAAGAAAUUUUCCCGCAUCGACGUGGACGAUGCCUAUCCCGCAUCCUCGUCGUUGAGUCGGCGGAGGACGACACCUGCUUGACCAGAUGGGCCAUGUCCGGGACUGGGCUCUGCCGGGGUGGUACUGGGAGGCGCUACCUACCGGGGGGCGCAGGUUGGUGAGGAGCCAGCCUGUCAUUGACCCGAACCUUCUUUGGUGGCGGUCGUGUGGGCUAGUGACGGUCCAGAGGCUCGAGGACUCCGCGGAGGUGGUGCGUCACCGUGUUAGUGAGGAGGACGCGCACGUCCAUCGCUACUUGUUUGCGUUGGAGCACAGGUUCUCCAAUACCUGGCAGGUUCUCCAGGGAUCUCACUGGAGCUAUGAUCCCAUGAUGGUUCCUUCUCUGUGGGUGUCCACCGCCCGCGCCGAUACCCGUCGUUUGCUAGGGUUUUAGUUGUACUAGUGAUGUUAUAUGUAUGACACUAUUCGGGAUGUAUUAGUGAUAAUAUUCGACGAUGUACGGACGCAUGAGAUGAUUUACUUUUGCUUAUUGAAUGCAUGCUAAUUUGAGUCUUAUAAGAUAUUUUGAAAUGUAUAUCUUGUGUUGCUCAAUAUCCAAGUGGCCGGUCAUGUUUGCAGGUUACACCUCCGAGUGGCCUAUGUUUUGCCGGAGUGUUGAUUCAUUUCCGUUCUGGCAAAUUUCAGGCGCUCGAUAUAUCAUAUUUUAGCAAAGGUCAUGCCAGAUUUUUCCGUGAAUUUUGGCAUGACUUUUGCCAGAAUAUGUAGGAAAUAUCGAGUGCCCCGGAUUUGUGUGUUGAGUAUCCUGGUAGUUGUCUUCUAUCGAUUUUCAGUUAAUGUUUUAACUAUGAACAUAGGAAAUGUCUGACGACAAAAAGGAUUUUGGUAUUUCCAAAUACUGCGAAGACGAGCACGGCCUGUGCGACGGAAUCUUCCUAGAUGAUGAUAGGCGCUUCAGCAUCAAGCUGGACGAGAACUUCGAAGUGGAUACAGUAAGUCACAACGACAAGUCUUUUUUCGUAAUUAAGCAUGACAUCUGCUUCAUUUGCUUCAACUUAUAUUUUUUUACUAUUCUACUAGAGUAUCCCCUGCCAUGCAAGAGUUUUUGUAUUGGAUAAGAUAGGUUUCAGUCAUACUAUGGAGGUAAAGAAAGUUGAUUUGAAGACCGAGCAUGGUUAUAUUUUCCAUGCAAAAUUAUACAAUUCAGAUGACUACACCUAUUUUGGAUGCAAAACAUGGCAAGCAGUAUGCAAGACUUAUGCAUUUCAGCCUGAUAUGGUUAUCACCUUUGAUAUUCGUCUAGAAGAUGAUAUUGAAGGUAAUACCGACAUCUGGGUCGAUGUGCAGACGCCUCCAGUUACACCAAAAUGUAAGUUUCUCAACCAUAUUUAUGUCUUUGAUAUUGUUUAUUCAAAAAUAGUUGACAACUAAUUUGUAUUGCCAGCUUAUUUUGGUGCAAUCAAACAUGUCCAGCGCUUGGUAGACAGGACCUACUACUGUCCCGGGGCUGAACUAAACUGCGAGGAGCUAAGUCAUUAUGUUUCAUGGCUUGAGGAUCUUGAUACCGUCAAGACAAAUUCUCUUCCCGGACUUAGAAAUCUUAGUACUGAAAACAUGCGACCAAUAGUGUUCGUCAUGAACUACGGUCACAUCUAUUUAGGAAGGAUGGUAAGAUUUUUACUAUUUGUCCUCAGUGCAUCUUUUCCAUACAUUAUUUGUGAAGCUAAACUUCAUUGCUAAGUAUGUGACCAUACGAUGUUCUUCAACAGGGACUCCCGAUGAAUGUUGUGCCUUAUGGGAUCGAGACUAAAGGUACCAUGAGUAUUAUUAGCUUACAUCCAAGAUAUCCUACAUGUUAGUUUAGUGCAUUCAAGAUCAGCGAUGAAUGCUUAAUAGUGCAAGACUGGACCAGAUAUGUGAUGGGGGAGCGCAGACAAGUACUAGGGGGCAGCAAACAGAUGUGCUACCCAAAAUUAGGAGACAUGUUCAUCUGCAUGCUCCAACUUGAUCAAGGAGGAGAGCUACACAUGUUUUAUGUUGUUUUACCUAAGAGAGAGCAGCAGGAGUGAUUAGCUAGAAAUGAGUUUGAGGAUGAUGAUGUGCUACACUAUUACUAUGAUGAUAAAAUAGCUAGUGUUGGUGGUAAUGACUGAUGAUUAUUAUUAUCUAGUGUUAGUGGUGAUUAAAUAAAUAUUGUUGGUGCUAAUGAUUAUGAUGAUGAUUAAAUAGCUUGUGCUGGCGGAUUAGAUUCAAGUGGAGGCAACAUGUGGUGCACAUCGAAAGUACUACUAGUCCAAACUAGAUCAAGUUUGGAUUAGUAGUAUACUUUUGACAUGCACCACAUAUUGCCUCCACUUGAACCUAAUCCACCUUCAUUUGACACACUGUUAUGGACAUAAUGAUGUAAACCUCAUAACUCGUAUUGUACCAAUAUUUGUACGAUGGCGCAUAAAUACACUAAAAAUAAAAAAAAUAAAAAAACAAUACUAGUAGCGAUGGAAAGAAAACACGCUGCCAGUAGUUACAUUAGCAGCAGCGUGGGAGUGAACAAGCGCUGUAGCUAUUUGUCCUAGCAGUAGCGCGUGCGGCACGCGUUACUGCUAAGCAAUAGCUGUAGCACCUUAUUAGUAGCGCGCCUACCCGCGCUACUAGUAAGCACAAAACCAGCGCUACUGCUAGGGUCUUCCCUAGUAGUGGGGAAAAGGCCCCAAGAUGGGAUCUCGUGGAUACAGAAAGUUACGGCGGUGGAAUUAGGGUUUUGGCUCAGUAUCUGGUAGUUUGGAGGUACGUAGGUAUAUAUAGGAGGAAGGAGUACGCCGGUGGAGCGACAGGGGGGCCACGAGGGUGGAGGGCGCGCCUGGGAGGGGGGGGGGGGUAGGCGCGCCCCCAACCUCAUGGCCUCCUGGUUGAUGUCUUGACAUAGGUUCCAAGUCCUCUGGAUCACGUUUGUUCUGAAAAUCACGUUCCCGAAGGUUUCAUUCCGUUUGGACUCCGUUUGAUAUUGUUUUUCUGCGAAACUCUGAAAUAGGCAAAAAACAACAAUUCUGGGUUGGGCCUCCGGUUAAUAGGUUAGUCCCAAAAAUAAUAUAAAAAUGUAUAAUAAAGCCCAAUAACGUCCAAAAUAAAAUAUAAUAUAGCAUGGAACAAUAAAAAAUUAUAGAUACGUUGGAGACGUAUCGGCCGUCACCCCGGCCGCGACGCGCCCUUUUAGGCGCCUUUCUCAGACGAAGCAGCUCGAGCGCUGGCGCUUGGGGCUUUGCUUUAACUGUGACGCGCCCUAUGCCCCGGGCCAUGUCUGCCCACGCCUCUUCUACUUGGAGACGACCGAGGAGACCGAGGAGGACACACCAGAGGAUGGCCUCGGCGACCUAGCCGCCGCGGAGCUCACACCUGCACCCGCGCCUGCUCCGGCGACGACCCUCGUCGUCUCGCUCCACGUGCUGGCUAGCAUCCGUGAUGAACGGGCGAUGCUUUUACCGGUCACGAUCCAUGGCAAGCAUUUGGUGGCCCUCCAGGACACAGGCUCCAUGCAUAACUUCCUACCGGAGACCACCGUGGAGCAGCUACGGGUCACCGUGGCUAAUGCCGACCGUCUACGCUGCCAUGGGCUCGCCCACGAUGUGCCCAUCGCUAUCGGCAACGAGCACUUCACCAUCACAUGCGUCGGCAUUGAUUUGGGCUGCUUCGACUUCAUCCUCGGCGUCGACUUCUUGCGGACUCUCGGUCCCAUCCAUUGGGACCUCGAUGCCCUGACGAUGACCUUAUGGUGUGUCGGGCGCCGCGUCCGCUGGGAGGGCAUUGGGGGCACCCCGGCGUCGCACCCGCUUCAGCUGGCCGCAGCCACCACCGAGGCCGAGCACCCGCUGUUGGACCACCUCCUGCAGCAGCACCGUGAUCUCUUUGAGGAGACGCAGGGCCUUCCACCGGCCCGGGUCUACGACCACCGUAUUCACCUCCUGCCGGGCUCAGCACCGGUGGCUGUACGGCCCUACCGGUAUCCUCAUCUGCAGAAGGACGAGUUGGAGCGGCAGUGUGCACUCAUGCUUGCCGCAUGCAUCAUCCAGAUCUCCACGUCGCCAUUCACUGCGCCGGUCCUCCUCGUUCGCAAGUCAGACGGCACGUGGCGUUUUUGCAUCGACUACCGCGCCCUUACUGCUCUCACACUUAAGGAUAAGUUCCCUAUCCCGGUGGUCAAUGAGCUUCUCGAUGAGCUGCAUGGGGAGCGCUUCUUCACCAAGCUGGAUCUCCGGUCGGGGUAUCAUCAGGUGCGCAUGCACCCAGACGACAUCACCAAGACGGCGUUUCGGACUCAUCACGGCCACUUCGAGUUCUUGGUGAUGCCUUUUGGCCUCUCCAACGCCCCGGCUACCUUUCAGGCUUUGAUGAACGAUGUCCUCCGGCCCUACUUACGUCGGUUUGUCCUCAUUUUCUUUGAUGACAUUCUUAUCUACAACGCCUCUUGGGCAGAGCACCUCCCGCAUGUGGCCAUCGUCUUCAACGAGCUUCGGGCGCAUCAUCUUCAUCUUAAGCGCUCGAAGUGCUCGUUCGGGACGCCUUCUGUCGCUUACCUCGGUCACGUCAUCUCGGCCAAGGGGGUGGCCAUGGAUGCCGGCAAGGUGGCGACCGUCGCCGCCUGGCUGAUUCCACAGUCUCCGCGGGCUCUUCGAGACUUUCUGGGCCUUGCGGGGUACUACCAGAAAUUCAUCCGGGAGUUUGGCCUCAUCGCGGCCCCGCUCAUGCGCCUUCUCCAUCGCGAUGCCUUCUCUUGGGACGAGGAGGCCACCACAACGUUCGAGGCCCUCAAGGGGGCCCUCACGAGGGGUCCCGUCCUGCAGAUGCCUGAUUUCGACAUCCUGUUUGCCGUCGACUGUGACGCCUCCGGUGCGGGGUUCGGUGCAAUCCUUCAUCAGGGCGAUGGACCCCUCGCCUUCUUCAGCCGGCCCUUUGCCGCCCGCUAUCUUAAACUGGCAGCCUAUGAGCGCGAGCUCAUUGACUUGGUAUAGGCGGUGCGUCACCGGCGGCCCUAUCUUUGGGGUCGAUCCUUCUGGAUCCGUAUGGAACACAACAGCCUCAAGUUCGUGCUGGAUCAGAGGCUCUCGACUGUAUGGCAGCACUAGUGGAUCAGUAAAAUCUUCAGGUUUGACUUCACUGUCGAGUACCGUCCGGGUCGCCUUAACACCGUCGCCGACACCGACACAGACGACGGUGCGGCGGAGGGGGCGGCCUUCUGCAUCAUCACCGGGCCCUCCUUCACCCUCUUCACCGACAUCCGGCGAGCGACAACAGCCACGACCGACGCACUCCUCCUGCAGCAGCAGCUGGCUGCGGGGGAACUAGAUGAGCCGUGGCGCCUCGCCGAUGGCUUGCUCCUUCAUGGGCGCCGGGUCUUCGUUCCGGCGCACGACAAUCUUCGUCAUCAGGUGUUGCGCCUCGCCCACUCGGCGGGCCAUGAGGGUGUGCAAAAGACACUCCAUCGUCUUCGCGCCGACUUCUACAUUCCAGGUGAUCGUGCCCUGGUCCGUGACUAGGUACGGUCUUGUGUGACGUGUCAGCACAACAAGACGGAGACUCUAUGGCCGGUUGGCUUGCUCCAGCCUUUGGAGGUGCCGUCCCAGGUCUGGGCGGACAUUUCCAUGGACUUCAUCGAGGGCCUCCCCAAGGUGGGCGGCAAGUCCGUCAUUCUCACGGUGGUCGACCGCUUCUCCAAGUAUGCCCACUUCAUCAUGCUUGGGCAUCCGUACACGGCGGCGUCUGUCGCUCGGGCUUUCUUCGAAGGCAUUGUCCGUCUCCAUGGGUUCCCAUCUUUGAUCGUCAGUGCUCGGGACCCCGUGUUCAUGGGCCAUGUGUGGCGCGACCUAUUCCGGUUGGCAGGCAUUAAGCUCCGCCUGAGCACAGCUUUCCACCCUCAGACGAACGGCCAGUCCGAGGUCGUUAACAAGGUGAUUGCCAUGUAUUUACGUUGUGUCACAAGUGGUCGCCCUCGCGCAUGGGUGGACUGGCUAUCAUGGGCGGAGUACUGCUACAACACCUCUUAUCACUCCGCCCUCCGUGCUACACCUUUUGAGAUGGUUUAUGGAUGGUCACCACCGCUGAUUAUUCCUAUUGAUCCGUCAUUAGAACGGACCGAGGCGGCCGGUGCUCUUCUGCGGAACCAUGACGAGAUGCUGGCAGAAGUCCGGCAACGCCUCCUUCAGGCCCAGCAGUUGGCCAAACACUACUACGACGGCAACCAUCUCGAGGCGGAGUUCGCGGUGGGCGAUUGGGUGUGGCUGCGUCUCCUUCGUCGCUCUACCCAGUCCCUGGACUCACGCGGAAAGAAUAAGCUGGGUCCUCGCUAUGCCGGUCCCUUUGCUAUCCUGGAACGCAUUGGGAAGGUGGCUUACCGUCUUCAGCUUCCGACAGGUGCGCGGAUUCAUGAUGUCUUCCAUGUGGGGCUGCUCAAGCCUUUCCGUGGAGAGCCCCCCGCGGUUCCUCCAGCGCUACCGCCUGUCACCGACGGGCGUCUCCUUCCUGAGCCGGAGAAGGCAUUGAAGGCUCAGCUGCGUCGUGGCUCCUGGUACGUGUUGAUUCAGUGGGUUGGACUUUCAGAGGAGGACGCGACUUGGGAGCAGCGCGAGGAGUUCCGCCAACACUACCCCGACUUUCAGCUCGAGGACGAUCUGUUUGCGCAGGCGGGGAGAGAUAUUAUGACCGGCCGAACCUACGGCCGUAGGAGGCCCACCGGGCAAGCUUAGCCCGCAAGUUAUCUUAGUUUCUAUUUCACAUCGUGGUUAUAUAUACAACUUGUAGGGCUAUUUUGAGAUUUAAGCAAUAAGACAAUUCUAUUGCUCGGCUCCCAGAGGAGCCGGAAACCCUGAACCCUAGCCGCCUCCUGUCUCAGCCGCCGCCGCACCGCCGCAAGGAUGGCGCCUCGCCGCCGGCCGCCGCGCUCCAGCCCUCGCCCACCUCCCUCCUUUCCCUACAAGCUACGCCCUAGACGAGGGAGAACCCUAGCUCCUAUCAUACUCAGAGACAAACGUCAAACUAUUUCUUUACCAAAGGCAAGUUAUUAACAUCAACAUAGGAGAAUUACUCUCCUGAUCAAUGAUGUAUCAGUUGUUUCAUAUUUUGAGGCCCUGUUGAUUUAUAGUGCAAAACAUUGACACCCAGGUUUCAGGCAUGCCAUGAAUAAAAUAUUAUACUUUGGCCAGCAGUGGCAUGGAAUAAAAGGGAAACUACAAACUCAAAGAAAAAGAUGGACAACAAAGCAACCCAAACAACACAGAAGUAGGCGGUGAAACACAAUGACAAGCAAGCACACAAGAUAGACAGAGACCGAUAUACUUUACAGAAUAAAUGCAGAACAGGGCGAUUCAUUUUAGGUCGAAUAUCAUCAACAGACAGAGAUACAAAUUUACGGCAACGGAAGAAAAAAGUUGGCUGUUUUGGAAGCAGAAACCAAGUCCAUUGCACAAGCAAAUUAGCAAUAGCACAGCAGCACCACACUGCAAUAGUAGUACAGCUGGGUUGUAAAUUAUAAACAUAACAUAGCAGAGUCAGAUAAAAAAUGGAUGGAUAGAAGUAUCUUAUCAUAACACAGGUUAUAAGCUAAUACCAAUGUUAUUGACAAUAGAAAGAUAGAUACAACCUUAAUGUAAGACCUUUUUGCAGUUUACUACAUUGAGUUACAGAGAGAGUAGAUAGAUAGAGACGGGCCAAGCGAGGCAUAUUCUCAGUUGGGCAGCAAGCUUGAUCCCUUGUGCCAUCCAGUCUUCCUCAAGCAGCGUCAUCUUCGAGAAUCACUCAAUCACAAGAGCUUCAACGAGCGCAUCAUCUUGGUCAGGAACAUAUGGACGAUAACCGUCUGCAUCCCUCAGCCUGUCCUCCGGGGUGGCAAUCUGAAUUCCAGUAAAAUCCAUCCUCUUCCAUUGUUCGGCAACGUACUCAUUCGCCUUUUCCCUGUUGGAAAUGAGCUCUUCAUCGACCUCGAAGUAGCCCUUGUCCCGCACAGACACUAAGACCUGCUGCCGGUACUCUUCGAAAUCGUCGUCCAUCUUCUUGAAAAGCUCUACACUGUCAGCGUGGGCACGCUUCCUUUCCUCAAUCCACUCCGGAGGGAAAUACUCUGCCAGAUCGUCCAGGUAAUCAGCGCUGGGGUGUUGCUCCGGCUUCAGCGCAAUUAUGGUCCUGAUCUCGGCUUUCGACAGCCGAACCUUGCCCUUGUUUGGACCUGGCGGUGCUGCGGCCGGCUGAUUGGCGACGGCGGACGACAGAUUCGCCUCCCCAAGCAUCUUGUCAAUCGCAGCUACCCCCUUCUCUGACUCGUCACCCUCCGUGUAGAUGGAUCCGGCGGCGGAGGGGAACACCGCCGCAGGACCAUCGACGCCGGCCUCCGUCGAAUUGGCAGCGCUGCCCGGACUAACCAUCAACUUCCCCGCCUCCUCCUUGCCCGCCAUGGCCUCUUCUUGAUUGAUUGAUGGUUCCUCUGCUGUCGACGUAGAUCUUGGGUUACGAGGUUUGUCGCUUGCGCUGGUUUGGGGAUUGGAUUGGAGGAGGCGGCGGUGCCAUCUCGAUCUAUAUAAACAUGGAAAGGAAGAGGAACCCUAGCCGAGCCGAGCGAGCCCUUCUUUGCUCUGCACCCAGUCGGUAUCGGACCCCGUUUACCGCCCGGUCUCGGCCGGAACUCGACCACCAGCGCAGCUUAGUCCACCGAUCAUGACACGCUGGGCAGGCCCCGGCCACUGCCCCUGCCUCUCCGUCUUUGUCUCCUCUUCCCCUCGUUUCCCUUUUUUCUUUUUCUUUUUCUUUCCUUCCCACAAAAAUGCUUCCUCCAUUUAUUAAAAAUAUUAUAAGGUGUGUUAAUAUUUUUGGAAAUCAAAGAUUUCUCUGGUUGAUCAAGUUCAUACUGAAAAUUGUAUUAUAAUAACAAAUAAAUAAAUUAUAAAAAUAUGCUUCGUGAUGCUUCUAAUGAUACAUAUUUGGUAUCAGAUCCAUUGAUGUUUUCCUCUACUUAUAUAGGUAAUAAAAAGAAUGCUCGUGCAUUGCAACAUGCAUACACAUUCUAGUAAAAUCAUGCCCACGAUUUGCCUGUCUAAAUAUGUACACAAUCAUGGGUAGGAUUUCAUAUGGUAACACAUAUUUACCAAUUAUUAGAAAAUCUAGUAAGUCAAUAAGGGAUUAUUUGGUAAGUUCAUAAAAGUGGGGUAGUUAAGGUGGUUUUCAAGGAAAAACGUGGAAAAACCUGGGAUAGGAGGGAAAAAUCGAAACAACAUCAUCUUGCCUUUGUAUCGGGUUAUUCGAAUGUUUCGAUAAACCUCUAUCUCUAUUUUUAUUUCGGUGUUUGUCUGAAAAGGUGAAUAAGUACCUCUUUCUUCCUUUCUUGUUAUGUACAUGGCUGCAUUAUAUCAUUUUAAAAUUAUUUUAUAGAUGAGUAAUUAAAUAUUCUCAAUAAAUUACACUACAAAGAAUAAAGAGACUAAACAAAUGAAAACUGGGGAAUGGAAGUGGGAACAUGACCAAAAAAAUAAAGAAAGAUGUAAAUAACAAGUCUUCAAUAAACAAAAUGAGAAAAAAAUAGAAGGACUAAACAAAGAAAGAGAGAACAACCCAUGACUAAAUAAAGUGAAUGAAAUAAAAUAGAGAGAAUGAGUCUCAAAAAGACCGACCAAAGAGUGACCAUGGACUAAGAAUAUUUUUUUCUUGAAUGACUAACAUGGUAAAAGGUGACACUGGAAAAAAAUACUACCAGCGCAAAGACAUUGAUUACUCAUAAUAUCACCAAAGAAAAGGAAAUAAAUAUAAAUGAACACUAAAAAUGUACUCUUUUCUUCAAUUAAUCUACAGACUUUGAAUACAUGACUGUCCCAUUACUUAACUCACCCCAUCGAUAAGUGUGCCAAUGAAUCCAAAUGCUAAAGGCUAGUUUGAGACGUGGAUAAAGGAUAAUGACAACUAAAUGACUUAGAAAUGGGAAAAAUUAGGUUCAUGCUAAAACUAGGUUGAAGGGAAACACUGAAGAAACUGUAAUCCAUGCACGGUAGACAUUUUGGUUGGUACAUUAUCAAUUUUAUUCUGGCUAAGACGAGGAAUAAUGCCAUGGUCAACACUGUAUGGUGAAAAGUGGACAUUGUAAACUUAACUACUAGAGUACUAAAGGAUUAAGAAUGAAAUGUCAGGCACAAUUUCCUUGCAGUGGGUUAGCAUCUACUGCAUGUCAUGGCGGGUGUGUGGUAUAGGUCUAGGACUGGCACCCUCUCCCGAUCUCCUCCUGAUCUUUCUCUCUUUCCUUACCGCUCACGAAGGCCACUGCUGGACAAGGACGCGCAACGCCCACUAGUAGAAAAAGGGUCAAAAAUGAAGCACAUUAGUGUCGGUUUGAAUUUGAGCCGGCAAUAAUGGUACCAUUAGUGCCGGUUCGAACGACUAUGCAUUAAUGCCGGUUCGUGUUGAACCUUUAGUACCGGUUCGUGCCACGAACCGGUACUAAAGGGGUGAUGGCAGGCUGGCGUCAGGCUGGGGCCCCACGAUCACCUUUAGUACCGGUUCGUGGCACAAACCGGUACUAAAGGGCUAACCUUUAGUACCGGUUUGUGCCACGAACCCGUACUAAAGGGGUCUGACCUAUAGUACCGGUUUGCGACACAAACCGGCACUAUAGGGCAAUUUUCAAACUCUAACCCCCCCCCCCUGGUGUGUCGCCAUUUCAGUUCUGAAAAAAUCAAAAGAAAAUGAUAAAAACUUCAAAAAAUAAAAUCCUUCUAGAGGUAGUUAUAUUACGACAUCUACUAGUUAGGAAAAUUUGAAAACUUAAAUUUGGACAUGUUUUGCAAAAAGUGUAGGGAAAAUGUAAAACGGCUAUAACUUUUGCAUACGAUGUCGAAAAAAACGUAUAAUAUAUCAAAAAAUUAAGCACAAAAAUCUGCAUCCGAUGGAGACAGCCUAUGGCUUCUUUGCAAUUUUUUAGAAUCCUCAAAUUCCAAAAGGAAAAAAAGAUAUGGUCAAAUUUUGAGUUUUUUUUAAAAAAAUUGUUAAAUCUGGUCAAACUACUUAUUCAAGAAGUAUUAAUGUUACUACAUAAUUAUUCAAGAAUAUUAGUGUUACUAAAUAAUUAUUUGAAUUUUGGUCAAAUCUGGUCAAACUAUGGUCAAACUAUGGUCAAACUGUGGUCAAACUUAUUCAAGAAAUAUUAGUGUUACUAAAUAAUUACUGUUUUAUUAGAAUAAUAGUUUCAAACUCAAACAGUGAAAUGUGUGACUUCAUGCUCAAGCUAAACUCCUGAGGGUUAAUAGGAUUGGCAUCUUACUAUUGUCAGGAAACCAACAAGUGCAGACUUGGAAACGAAGGAGAAUAGAACCCAAAAGUUAAGCGUGCUCGGGCUGGAGUAGUGAGAGGAAUGGGUGACCGGUCGGGAAGUUAGAUGAUUUGGAAUGAGUGAUCCACACUUGAGUAGUUAAGAGAGGUGAUUAGAGGCUAGAUCACCAAAUAAUUCUGAAAAUUUAAAAAUCGAAAAAAAAUAUCAAAAAACAUUUCCAAAAUUUUCAAAAAAAAACCUUUAGUACCGGUAACACCAACCGGUACUAAAGGUCCCCAAUACCAGGGCGCGAGCUCACGCCACGUGGUGGCACUUUAGCGCCGGUUCGUGCCGAACCGGCCGGUACUAAAGGGGGAGGCCUUUAGUGCCCACCAAUUAGUGCCGGUUAUGGAACCGGCACUAAAUGCCCUUACGAACCGGUUUUAAAGCUCCGUUUUCUACUAGUGGCCUAUGAUGAAGGUGGCGGGGAUCUGAUCUGUUGGAAAUAUGCUCUAGAGGCAAUAACAAAUUAGUUAUUAUUAUAUUUCCUUGUUCAUGAUAAUCGUUUAUUAUCCAUGCUAUAAUUGUAUUGAUAGGAAACUCAGAUACAUGUGUGGAUACAUAGACAACACCAUGUCUCUAGUAAGCCUCUAGUUGACUAGCUCGUUGAUCAAUAGAUGGUUACGGUUUCCUGACCACAGACAUUGGAUGUCGUUGAUAACGAGAUCACAUCAUUAGGAGAAUGGUGUGAUGGACAAGACCCAAUCCUAAGCAUAGCACUAGAUCGUGUAGUUCGUAUGCUAAAGCUUUUCUAAUGUCAAGUAUCAUUUCCUUAGACCAUGAGAUUGUGCAACUCCCGGAUACCGUAGGAAUACUUUGGGUGUGCCAAACGUCACAACGUAACUAGGUGGCUAUAAAGGUACACUACAGGUAUCUCCGAAAGUGUCUGUUGGGUUGGCACGAAUCGAGACUGGGAUUUGUCACUCCGUGUGACGGAGAGGUAUCUCUGGGCCCACUCGGUAGGACAUCAUCAUAAUGUGCACAAUGUGAUCAAGGAGUUGAUCACGGGAUGAUGUGUUAAGGAACGAGUAAAGAGACUUGCCGGUAACGAGAUUGAACAAGGUAUCGGGAUACCGACGAUCGAAUCUCGGUCAAGUAUCGUACCGCUAGACAAAGGGAAUUGUAUACGGGAUUGAUCGAAUCCUUGACAUCGUGGUUCAUCCGAUGAGAUCAUCGUGGGACAUGUGGGAACCAACAUGGGUAUCCAGAUCCCGCUGUUGGUUAUUGACCGGAGAACGUCUCGGUCAUGUCUGCAUGGUUCCCGAACCCGUAGGGUCUACACACUUAAGGUUCGGCGACGCUAGGGUUAUAGAGAUAUUAGUAUGCGGUAACCCGAAUGUUCUUCGGAGUCCCGGAUGAGAUCCCGGACGUCACGAGGUGUUCCGGAAUGGUCCGGAGGUAAAGAAUUAUAUAUAGGAAGUGGUAUUUCGGCCAUCGGACAAGUUUUGGGGUCACCGGUAUUGUACCGGGACCACUGGAAGGGUCCCGGGGGUCCACCGAGUGGGGCCACCUGCCCCGGGGAGGCACAUGGGCUGUAGGGUGUGCGCCUUGGCCUAUAUGGGCCAAGGGCACCAGCCCCAAGAGGCCCAUGCGCCAAGAGAUAAGGAAAGUAAGAGUCCUAAAGGGGGAAGGCACCUCCUAGGUGCCUUGGGGAGGAGGGACUCCACCCUAGCCGCACCCUUCCUUGGAGGAAGGGCCAAGGCUGCGCCCCCCCCCUCUCCCUUGGCCCUAUAUAUAGUGGGGGGAAGGGAGGGCAGCCACACCUAAGCACUGGCGCCUCCCUCUCCCUCCCGUGACACGUCUCCCUCUUCCUGCAGCGCUUGGCGAAGCCCUGUUGGAAUCCCGCUACUUCCACCACCACGCCGUCAUGCUGCUGGAUCUCCAUUAACCUAUCCUCCCCCCCUUGCUGGAUCAAGAAGGAGGAGACGUCGCUGCUCCGUACGUGUGUUGAACGCGGAGGUGCCGUCCGUUCGGCGCUAGGAUCAUCGGUGAUUUGGAUCACGACGAGUACGACUCCAUCAACCCCGUUCUCUUGAACGCUUCCGCGCGCGAUCUACAAGGGUAUGUAGAUCCACUCCUCCCUCGUUGCUAGAUGACUCCAUAGAUUGAUCUUGGUGACACGCAGGAAAAUUUUGAAUUAUUGCUACGUUCCCCGACAUGAUCCCCGACGGUCUCAUGGGCCAUCGGUGCGGGAUCCUCCAAGGCUGCAGUGCGAUGGAGUAUUUGACAAAAAACUACCAGUUUUGGGGUUUGGAGUUGGUGUCCCACAGAACUACAACAUUCAAAAUUUUGACCAAAAACUAUCACUUUUUUUGUAAUUCAUGCCGAAAAACUAUAGCUUUUGUUGAUGACAGUUUAUGACAAGCGGGACCCACCCGUCAUGGAUGAUGUGGAAGGACAGUCAAUGUCAUUUAUUUUGACCAUUAAGUUGACUGUUAUGACAAAUGGGGCCCACACGUCAACAUACACUUUCCUCUUCCUCCUCCUCUCUCUUUGUAUUUAGCAUUUCAACAAACAGCUACUGUGCAUUGGUGGACGACUGCAACAAGGUGAUGGUCGCGAUGGACUCGGCGUUGAGCAAGGUGACGAUGGUGAGGCUCGGCGCCGACCUGGUCGAGGCGCGGGUGGUGUACUAGGACGUGCACGACGUGUCGUAAGCAAAAGGAAAAGGCGUAUAUGAAAUGACCUAAGAGAUCCUUUGUCUAAAACUAUACAGAAUAAUCUAACAAACAACAGUGUAGUGCAUGGUGUCAGUGUAGACUGUGCUGUGAGAUCAUGUGUCAAGGGUUAACUCAUAGGAGUUUGGAAAACAACAUAGUGGUUGUUGCUUGGAAUACAUGUGACAUAAGGGUUCACAUGCAAGUUUCAAAUAAAAGGGCUCAUCACAUAAGGAGAAUGUGAUGUCAAGUUGUGGUUGCCAGAUUCUGAAAAAGGAAUGUAGCAACUAGAGUCGUGGUCUAUGAAUCUUGGAUAGCCAAGUUCAUGUCCUAGUUUGAAUGACAAUUCAACUUCUUGACUUUUCAUGAGCUUGAACACACACUAAGUGUCUAGGUUUCAUCUAGGUUCAUCAAUUUGGUUUGGCUCACAAUAAAAUUUGAAUUAGGGUUUACCUUCCUUAAAUUCAAUUUCAAUUGAGGUUUGAAUUUGAAUCCCAAUUAAGUUUGAAAUAACAAGGCUAGUUCAAGUUCAAAGAUAUGUCAUAAUUGGCUGAUGUUGUUUCAUGAAUUCGUUUGCCAGGUAUUUAAUUUAAUUCAGACUAAUUAAAUGACUUAUAAGUUUCCUUAGGUUUGCCCAAAUUCAAAUUUCACUUGGAUUUUCUCUAAAUUCAAAUACAAAUCCUAUAUAAUUACUAAAUUUUAUUUAUUUAAAUUCAAGUUUAAACUAAAUCUAAGUUUAAACCCAAAAUCAUUUACUAAGUGUAAAUAGCUUUCAACUUUACAUAGUUUGAACUAAAAUUGAUUUUAAGUUUAAUCCCUAAAGUCAAUUGUAUCUCCAAAAUAUUUACUAGGUUUAAUUUAUUUGUUCACUAAGUCAUAUUGCAAGAGUUUAUUCAAAUUAAACCUAUAGUUUUAAAGUUAAUAACCAAAUUGGUUUAAGUGAAUUCAAUUAUUUAUUUAAAAUAUCUAAAGUCAAGUAAUAAUCGCAAACUAUUUACUAAAGUUCAUUUUGGGUUUUUGUAACUUAGUUGCAAGAUAAUUAUCCGAAUAAACAUUUUGAUUCCAAGGUUAAACCAAAUUUUAGGUUUAAUAUUGUUUGAAUUAUAGCCAUUGUUAAAUAUAUUCAAUUUUAAUUUUUUAAUCAUUUAAAAAAUGGACUACUGUAGCUAAGUUGAAACUAUAUUUCCCUAGAUUCAUUCUGCAAAAGGAAUCCAUUAAUUUUGAUUUAUAAUUUGCAAGUCAUGCCGUAUUUAAGUUUGAAUUUUAAACUUUUCAAGAGUCUAAUAUUAUUUAGUGAAUAUUUUCAUAACGAUCAUUUUGCAAAAAGAUUCACUAAAUUUUGAUUUACAGAUUAAGAGUUAUGAUGGUUUGAAAAUACAGGGGGUCUAGUGUAAAACCUGGAGUUAGUUCAAUUUAGUAGAAAAUGUUUCAGAUAAUCUUUUGGAUAAGGCAGUGAUGUGGCGUGUUUCAAUUGGCUGGUACCCGUUCGUUUAAGUGAUUGUACGUGAUGUGUUGUGUCUAAGAUGAACGGCCAGAAAUAGAUCUAGGGGGUCUCACUGAAGCUAGGUCGUCGAAGUGGUCGCCGGAAAAUGUGAAGACGGCAGCAGACGGUGGCACUAGCCUAAGGGUUGACGAUCCGCCGUUCUGUUGGUCGUCGGAUGUGGCCGAUGGCACGGUUGGGCUCGGCUCGCCGUCGCAGGUCUCCUAGUGGCCUUGCGUGCCGUUGGGGACGAUGGAAACGAUGGCCACGGGCUCGCUAGAGAUGAGACAGGCGGCAGAGCUCUUUGUAUGGACGUGCGCGGAGAAAUCAAAUGCGCCUGGAAAAAUGGACAGGCUUAGGACAACGAAGAUGGUGGACACGGUUAGGGCAUCUGGCAUGAGCUCGGCAGCGCGGCAGAGAGCUUCGGGCUCCUUUGAGCUCGAGCUUCCCGGAAGUUCUGGGUUUGCCGGGGAUGUCCAACGGGUGCGCGAGGGGACGACGAGGCUGGUGGUGGCUCAGGUUGGUGCUGAGGGCAUCGGGCUUCGCCGGAAAAUUGUCAGCGAUGGCUAGGUUAGCGGCGGUGCUCGGGUGUUGGUCUCAGGGAGCCUGAUGGCGAUGUGGUGGGGAAAUUGAGGGGAAAUAGAGACGGUGAUGAGGGGUUUUUAUAGGACAUGGUCGCGAGGCAAUUCUAGCAUGUUGGGCACGCGAGGUGGAGGUCAUGCGUCGACGUGCUCGGUCGUGGGCGCGGGCGUGCCAGGGGUUGCGGCAGGAGGAAGCUGAAGCGUGUGUCUCAUGCGUUUGUGAGAGCGAGAGAGAGACACAGGUGCUGGCGCGGCGGGCUCGCGGGGCUGGCUAGCUGGACCACGACCAGGCGUGCUGGCUCGCUGGACCUUUUUAUUUUUAUUUUUCUUUUGUUUUUCUUUUCUGUGUUCUUUUUAUGUUUUGUUUCUAAAUUCAAACCCAUUUAGAAUUUGGAUUUUAUUCCAACAGAAGAAUUGCUCUAAAAUCUAUUUGGAAUAUUCCUACAUUGUUUUAACUUUUUGUUUGGGCCUUUUGGGCAAAUAUUUUUUGCACUUUAUUUUCUAUCUUGUUUUAAAUACUCUCUGUGAAUAACUUUUUUAUUUUUCAAAAUGAUUUUUCUUCUGUAUUUCUUUGUUUUGGUUUUAUCUUGAUUCGCUUUCAUUUCAUUUUGAAAUUAUUUGUGUUUAACCCCUUUGGGUUUUUACUUAACUUUCUGUUCUCAGUUGUUUUAGGUUUUAACCAAAGUCCACUAGGUUUCCACUAAUAUUGUGGGGGCAUAUACCCCUCCUAGGUUGAUCAAAUCAAGGCAAACAAAGUCAUUCAUCAAGCAUUUCCUAGGCAAUGUAGUUAACUAGAGAGCAAGCAGGGGUUUUGUUGGGAACAUUUUAAUUCCCUGUGAAAAUUUUAAUGUACCAGAUUUGGGAAAAAUCUGGGAUGUGACAGUGAUGUUGGGCAUGUGGUACAGGUCUAGGACUGGCAACUUGUUUGGAUGAGAUUUCUUCACGUGUGUAUAUCUUGGUUAUACGAAUCACAAUACUAUUACUCAUCUUGAAGAUAAGUAAUUUCUGGAACAAAUGAAGAAGAAAAAAGGUGUAAUUUUAUGAGGAUGUCCAGCUCAUAUUAUUUUCUCAUGUUCACGUUCCAAACUGUGCAAAAUAUCAACAUAUUUGUCCUGAAUAAUGUCUUCACUUAUCCAAGUACGCAGAAUAUGGGUGCAAGUGCCAAAGUUGGCUCUCUUCUGUUUAUUCACUUAUUUCAGCAAGCCCAACUACGGAACGCUUUCCAGGAGGUGGUAAUCUCCGUGCCAAUGAGAACCACUCCCAGCUGAAAGCGUUUCCUGGCAUUUUGCUUUGCAGACAGACUUCGCAGCAGUAUCCGUUAGAUGCAAACAUCCGAAAUGUUGUUUGGUAGGCCCUAUAUUGUGGCAUGGCAGCCUGAUACCAGGAGGCACAAAAUUCUUUCAGUGCCCCUGUUUCACUGACAUUACCGCUAGAGCCCUGUUACAGUUCCUACAAUCCACCCUGUACGUAUGUCUAAGGCUAUGUUCGGUUACGCCCUUCCCCGCGUGGUUUUGGGCCCAAACCACGGGGAUCCAGGCGGAUCGGCCCCACUAGGAAAUAAUCUCCGCGUUUUUGAUUUGACGCAUUCGGUUAAGCCUCGAGCGGAUCUUUCCCCCGUUAAAACCCCUCAAAACCGCGAGGAAAAAAUCAGCUCCAGCCCAUCCGUGGAAAAAAUCCGCCUCUCUCUCUCUCGUAAUACGUAGCGGGGGCGUGGGCUUAACCGAAUGGAAGAAAGAAGCCCCGAUCAUCUUUGUGGCAGGGAGUCAACCCCCACAAGGGUCAGGUGCUGACACCCAAUACCGGCAGGGAUUAGUUCCACUAGGGGAACUAAUCUAUUGUAACCGAACAAGGCCUAAGGGAAAACAAGAGAAAACGAAGGGCAGAAUGGUCGACAAACAAGGCAACAACACAUUCUUGGGCCGGGGGCGGGCGUUGUUGGUUUUAGGACGAAGUGGAGCAGCAAAACUAGCUUGGACAUGAGAAAAAUCAGCCACAAGAGAAGCAGCCCAUCCCCGACAACAGAAUUGUGAAUUAGAGCAUCUCCACUCGUUCGGCCCUUAGGCGCACUCGGCGAUUGUGGUUUUGCCCUUCGGCCGGCGCAUUUUUGGCCCUGGAGGCGAUCUAGUUCCCAGUCACGCCCUCUAGAUUAGUUUCUAAGACGCGAAUAAAUUCAAACAUGACAUUUCCCGCUACCCAAAAAGAAACCACAAGUUCGGCGUUCAAUUUCACAAAGUUCGGCGAUCACCAUGCCACAGUUCGAUGAUUAAUUAUACUCGAAAGUUCGGCGUUCAAAAGGAAGGACGCGUAGGCAAUGCAUCAAACGGCGGUGUGCUCCUCCGGCGUCGGACUGCCAGGAAUCGGCGUGCUCGGGCUGGUCGUCGUCGGCGCGGCUUCUGUGCUGGGCGUCGUGGAGGCAUCAUCACUCGGGCUUCGCGGCGUCGUUGGUGUCAUCGUGGGAGUUGGCGCAUAUCGUUUGGAUGAGUGCACAAUGGUUCGUCAUGGCCUUCGAGCCACGCUUCAUGUGGAUGGUGGCGAAGUAGGGGUCGACCAACUUAUGCUCGUCGAACUCCGACUUGAUGCGCUCCCAGUACAUGUUAGCGCUUUGGUUUGCGCCGGUGAUCGGGUCGAGGCAGACAGUCUUCCAUUCUUCGGCGAGGCACUCGUCUUCUUUGGACGUUGAAAGUGCAACUAUCCCUAGGUGGUUUUGGUAAUUCAUAACAACAUAUAGCUCAUUGGGCUAAUACUAUUUCAAGAUAAUUAUUUCAGGAAAGCUCAAUGAUUGGCAUGGCAUGGAUGUGAAAGUGGAACCCUCAAAAUGCUAAGGAUAAUGGAUUAGCUCAAGCUCAAAAGCUCAAGACUCUUCAUUUUAUAUUUUAGUGAUCCAAGAUCACAUUGAGUCCAUAGGAAAAGCCAAUACUAUCAAGGAGGGAUGAGGUGUUGCUUAAUGAGCCUCUUGCUUCAUGUGCUUAAUGAUAUGCUCCAAAAUCCUCAACCACUUUCCCACUUCCACAAAUGACCAAAACUCUAAGCCAAACUCGGUCCUACCGAUUUUUCCUAUCCGGCGCCACCGAGUUUCACUUGUCAUUAGCCACUGCCAAACCCUAGCAAUUCGGUCCUACCGAUAAGGAUCUCAGUCCCACCGAGAUGGGGUUGCAAACUCUCUGUUUCCCUUUCGUAACUUUUCGGUCCCACCGAAAGAGCGAAUCGGUCCCACCGAGAUUGCAAUGUAAACUCAGUGUUUCCCCUUUGUAACUUUUUGGUCUCACCGAGUUCCACUCGGUCUCACCGAAAGAGCAAAUCGGUCCCACCGAGUUUGCCUGACCAACUCUCUGGUUAGCUAAUUACCAAAUUCGGUCUCACCGAGUUUGUGUAAUCGGUCUCACCGAGAUUACGUUAUGCCCAAACCCUAACCAUAUCGGUCCUACCGAGUUGCAUGUCAGUCCCACCGAAAUUCCUAACGGUCACUAGGUUUACUAUUUCGGUCAGACCGAGUUUAUUGAUUCGGUCCCACCGAGAUGGGAAAACUGUGUAACGGUUGGAUUUUGUGUGGAGGCUAUAUAUACCCCUCCACCUCUUUCUCAUUCAAUGAGAGAGCCAUCAGAACACACACAUCAUUCCAACUCAUUUGUUCUGAGAGAGAACCACCUACUCAUGUGUUGAGACCAAGAUAUUCCAUUCCUACCAUAUGAAUCUUGAUCUCUAGCCUUCCCAAGUUGCUUUCCACUCAAAUCUUCUUUCCUCCAAAUCCAAAUCCUAUGAGAGAGAGUUGAGUGUUGGGGAGACUAUCAUUUGAAGCACAAGAGCAAGGAGUUCAUUACCUAUACACCAUUUGUUACUUCUUGGAGAGUGGUGUCUCCUAGAUUGGCUAGGUGUUACUUGGGAGCCUCCGACAAGAUUGUGGAGUUGAACCAAGGAGUUUGUAAGGGCAAGGAGAUCGCCUACUUCAUGAAGAUCUACCGCUAGUGAGGCAAGUCCUUCGUGGGCGAUGGCCAUGGUGGGAUAGACAAGGUUGCUUCUUCGUGGACCUUUUGUGGGUGGUUGCUUCUUCAUGGACCCUUCGUGGGUGGAGCCCUUCGUGGACUCGUGCAACCAUUGCCCUUGGGUGGAGCCCUGUGUGGACUCGCGCAACCGUUACCCUUCGUGGGUUGAAGUCUCCAUCAACGUGGAUGUAGGAUAGCACCACCUAUUCGAACCACGGGAAAAACAUCCGUGUCUCCAUUAUCGUUUGAACUCUCCAAACCCUUCCCUUUACAUUCUCGCAAGUUGCAUGCUUUACUUUCCGCUGCCCAUAAACUCUUUGCAUGCUUGCUUGAAUUAUUUGAUGAUUGCUUGACUUGUUCUAAGAUAGCUAAAAUCUGCCAAGAACUAAAAUUGGGAAAAGGUUAAGUUUUUAUUUGGUCAAGUAGUCUAAUCACCCCCCCUCUAGAAAUACUUUCGAUCCUACAAGUGGUAUCAGGGCUUUGGUCUCCAUUUGCUAGAUCUCCAUAGCUUUUGGUGGUCAUAGCCUUGGUUUCACAACCUAGGAGAUUAUGGUGUCUAGCGAGGGAAAUUAUCACCGUAGAGGUCCUUACUUUGAUGGUACUAAUUUUGCUAGUUGGAAGCAUAAAAUGAAAAUGCAUAUUCUUGGACAUAACCCCGCUGUUUGGCCUAUUGUGUGUGUUGGUUUGCAAGGUGACUUCUUUGAUGGGAGAGAACCAAACCGUGAAGCUACCGCGGAUAAGUUGAAGAUGUUGCAAUACAAUGCUCAAGCUUGUGAUAUUCUCUUCAACGGAUUGUGCCCCGAAGAAUUCAACAAAAUCAGCCGCCUUGAGAAUGCAAAGGAAAUUUGGGACACUUUGAUUGAUAUGCACGAAGGUACCGACUCCGUCAAGGAAUCCAAGUUGGAUGUGCUUCAAAGCCAACUUGACAAGUUCAAGCUGAAGGAUGGUGAAGGUGUCGCUGAAAUGUACUCUAGGCUUUCUCUCAUCACAAAUGAGAUUGCCGGCUUAGGAAGUGAAGAGAUGACCGAUAAAUUCAUCAUCAAGAAGAUCCUAAGAGCCUUAGAUGGAAAAUAUGAUACAGUGUGCACAUUGAUCAAAAUGAUGCCCAAUUACAAAGAUCUCAAGCCAACGGAGGUGAUUGGAAGAAUUGUUGCUCAUGAGAUGUCACUUAAGGAUAAAGAGGAACUUCACAACAAAUCAAGUGGUGCUUAUAAAGCCUCAUGUGAAGCCCCUACAUCAUCAAGUGAGAAACAAGACUUCAAUGAAGAACUGAGCUUGAUGGUGAAGAACUUCAAGAAGUUCUACAAGAGUAGAAGCAAAGAUAGAAGCUCCAAAUCAAGGUCCUACAAUGACAAAAGAUCUUCUAGUCGAGAGCGAAACUGUUACAAUUGUGGAAGACCCGGACACUAUUCCAAUGAGUGUACGGCUCCCUGCAAGAGAAGAGAAGAUUCUCCAAAAAGAAGAAGCAAAGGAUCACCACCAAGAGAGAGAAGGAGUAGAGAUGAUCGUUAUGAACGAAGAUACUCACGGAGAAGCAAGGAUUCGGAAAGGAAGGAAAAAUCAUCAAGGAGCUACACAAAACGAAGACAUCAAGCUCAUGUUGGUGAAUGGGUUUCCGGCUCCGACUCCGACAGCCACUCCGAGAGAAGUUAUCACUCUUACUCCAAAGAUACUCAAGAUGAAGGUGUUGCCGGUCUAGCACUUGUGUCAACCGACUCCUACGACAUAUUUGACUCACCAAAUGAGGGAAUUGGAAGAUGCUUCAUGGCCAAAGGUCCUAAGGUAACACACCCUGAGUAUGUUGAUUUCAAUAGUGAUGAAGAUGACUUGUUAGGUGAUGAUUUGGUUGGCGACAACUCUAGUGAUGAAUACUACGAUAAUCAUGCUAAUCAAGAUAAAACGAGUGACAAUGAUAAGGAGAAGAUUGAGGCUCUAACUAAAGAACUAAAAACUCUUAAGUUAGCUCAUGACACUAUCUUCGAAGAUCAUCGAGAACUUUUAAGAGCUCAUGAGAAACUAUGCAAUGAAAAGUUCAAUCUUGAGCAAGAGCAUGAGUUCUUAAAGGCAAUCAAUGAUGAUCUCCGCAAGAAAAGUUCUUCUUACAUUGCCAAGCGUUUACUCUUAUCCACUUACAUGCCUCAAGUCAAGUCUAAUUCUUCCUCUAGUAGUAACAAUGAUCAUGCCAAAUUCAAUACUGUUGCCUCUAGUAGUUCUCUUGAUUCCACUAAUGAUUCUCUUAGCCAAGUUACACUUGAGGAAGAAAAUAGCUUAUUUAAGGGAAUUAUAGAGAAAGGAGUGUACAAGAGCCUUUCCGGGAGUAAGCAAUUCGAGGAAAUUGUGCGCAAGCAAGGAAUGCACCGGAAGAAUCAAGGUGUUGGUUUUGAACGAAAGUUCAAUGCCAAUGGAGUUGAAUGGGAAGAAGAUCAAUACCCCAAGACAAAGUUUGUCCCUCAACAAGAGAAGUAUACUUCUUUCAAGGGGACACAAGCUCAAGAUGAUCUUCCACCACAAGACUACGAGCAAAAAGGCAAGGACAAGCUUCAAGAGGAAAUUGAUGCAUUUGAAGAAGCUCCUAAGACCUUAGUCAAGUGGAUCCCCAAGACUUCUUCAAGUUCCACUUCAUCAAGUAUGACUACAACUCCAAGGAUUCCCAUCAAGAUGAUGUGGAUCGAAAAGAAGAAGAACUAGAAAGUUCUUGAGGGUGACUCCGCCAACAUACUUCACUCUUAUCAUUUUGGCAAGAACAAGUGCAAUCAACUUCCACAUCUUGCACUAGUUCAAGGAGUCACAAACCCUCUUGUUGGUAAGACAAGGGACAAGGUAACCUAAAAGCUUUCAUGGACAUCAUCUUUUGUGUGCAUCACUCUAUGUCUAUGGAUAUCCUUGCUUUUUCCUUGUGGGUUGAAAGUGCAAUUCACUCAAAUGGAUAGCUCCAAGAGAUCUACAUCAACAUUGAGCAUCCACAUCUUCAAUAUCUACAUGAAGUCAUCAUCGACAAAACCCAAGGUUAGUUCAUCCCUCUUAGGGGGGAUAUCACAUCUAGGGGGAGCUUUACUCAAAGACUUGAGCUAAAGCAACUCUAAAGAUGUGAACAAAACAAUGCUUUAUGUAAAAGUGGUAACCCCACUUGAGCUUAAACGAUGAGUAUGACCUAAGAUCAAGUGUUCUCACUUGACUCCUAAGUCAAUAUACUCAUAUAUAGAUGACCUAGUCAUCGCAAAUUGCUUGAUAGAUGCUAGAAUUGGUUGUGCAUGCCUUGCCACAUAUUCCAUUUGCCAUCUUAUUGUGUGAGCAUGCUGAUUGCAUAUUUUACUCAUUCGAGGACAUCCACUUGUUGCUUUGAUUGUUCGGUUUUAUUUCUUUUUGCCAAGUGGAUGGACAAGAAUGCCUAAGAACCUCCUCUAGCUAUCUAUGCUUUUCUCGUCUCAAACUCUAUUCAUGCUGCAUCACAAAAUUUGAUCAAGUCAGAUUCGAACCACUCUGUGUGAGGAGCGCUCGGAGUCCCCGAUUCGUCAUAGACUUAAACUUCCAAAACCUCUUUAUGAUUCUCGGUCUGACCGAUACUUCACUUUCGGUCCUACCGAGAUCAUUAAGUUGAUCUAGGUUUUCGAUCUCGGUGCAACCGAUUUGAACCUGUCGGUCUCACCGAGAUUCAGUAACUGCACGUAGUUAUGAACCUCGGUGCCACCGAGUUGUUCAACUCGGUCACACCGACAGGGUCGGGCUAUAUAUAGUGACGGGCAAAAUUUUGGAAAUUUCUCCGAAACCCCUCACCCGCGCGAUAGCCUGCUCUGCCCCCGAGGUCUCCGGAUCGUCUUCUCGCCGCCAGCAGCCUCCAGUCGCUGGUCUCCGGCGCCGUCAACGGAUUUCUGCCCUGCCGUUGCCGCCGUAGCAAGUCCUCGCCGAACUAGGGUAUGGACUUGAUCUUUGUGCUAUUCCUCAAUCUGAUUCCUAGCACAUUGUGAUCAUAUUGAUUCUUGCCACGAUUGAAACACUUCUAUCCAGUCAAAACGCUCAUAGGUUAGGUUUGAUUCGAAAAUUCUAGGUUUAGGUUUCCGCUGAAACCAUCUCGGACCCACCGAGUUGAAAAACUCGGUCCCACCGAUCUAGCUUUUGCCAUUGCACAAGUGAAACUCGGUCUAACCGAGAAUAACUUAUCGGUGCGACCGAUUUUGGAAUUCUGUGAAACCCUAGCAGUCUCGGUGCCACCGAACUGUGACUCGGUCUGACCGAGUUCACCAGUUCUGGUGCCAAAACUGCUUCGGUGUCACCGAGUUUGAAAAUCAGUAGAUCCGAGAUGCUUUCUAUGGAAAACUAAAACUAAGUUUUUGAAUUAAUCUUUUGCUAAAAUCUCUGCUUUUUGUGAUGCUCAUCCACUCUAUCUCCUCUAUAAUCUAUUCACAGGGUCAGCAGUCAGUUUGCAACAUGUCUGAUCAAAGUGACAGCCAGAAUGUGUCUGAGCAGCAAGUUGUGAUGAGUGAGGGCACUAGCCCCUUAAGUUCUUCUGAUGAUGGCAGCAGGAGCACCCCCAGCAAUCUGCCUAAGGCUGCCACACGUCAAAGGAAGAAGAGAACGUAUGAUUCUGAAGAUGAGGACUAUGUGGCAGAGGAAGAGGCCACUUCCAAGAGGGUUGAGCCAGCUCAAGGCUCAAAGACAGGCCUGAAAAUCAAGAGGCCAGCAGGCAGGCAGCCAGUGUCAAAGGCUAGAGCCUCCACUGAGAAGCCUGCUCCCAUUGAGCCCGUUGCUGCUGAGGGCAAGAAGAGGAAGGAGAGAGUAAAGAAGACUGUAGCCAAAGUGCUUGGGAGAGCCUCCAUCAUGGUAGAAGAGGAGGAGGAAGAAGAGGCAGCUGCACCAGCGCCCAAGGCAGCCAAACUUAUGGGAGAUGCCAUAAGGUCAGGAACAGCUGCAUCCAAGCCCAAGGAAGCACCCAAGGCUGCAUCUAAGCCUAAGACAGCACCAAAGAGAAACACAAGGAGUAUACCUGCUGCAGAAAAUAACAAGGCCCCAAUGCCUGAAGCUAUCGAAGAAGAAGAAGAGAGUGUCCUUAGAAAGCUCAAGCCCAAGAUCCCAGACCACAACGAUGCUCAUCCUGUGGCUGAGGAUAUGAAGCUAAGGAGAGACUCAGGACUCAGGAAAUGGAGAGAAGCAGAUCCAUAUGCUUCUAGGAGAAGGACUGCCGUGGAUUACAGAUUUCAUACCAAGGAGCAACAAGACUUUUAUGAGACUGUUUUGCUUGACAAGAAGCCAAUCGUUUGUGACAUGAGAUGGGUCAACUGGACCUAUAUCAAGGAGAAUGAAGAGUACUACCCAGGAGUUCAGGACAGCUUUAGGGCGUGUGGAGUAGAGGACUUUGUUGGGCAGAAGCUCACAAAGUGGAACGAGGAACUCAUCAUGUAGUUCUACUCCAUAGCUCACUUUUAUCCGGAUGGCAAGAUUACAUGGAUGUCUGAGGGUACGAGGUACCAAUCCACUGUUGAGGAAUGGGCGAAAUUAAUCAAUGCCCCAGAGGAGCAAGCAGAUGACUUGGAUAUCUACGCCAAGAAGAAGAUGGAUCAUAACUCCAUGUCCAACAUGUACAAGGAGAUCCCGAAUGAAGCACUUGACACAUUCAAGUUUGGCUCAGUACAUUAUCUGCUCUUAGGAUUGCCUACGAUCAAUUGGAUACUAAGGCUGAAGGAAAUAUGCCCUAGAGGCAAUAAUAAAGUUAUUAUUUAUUUCCUUAUAAUCAUGAUAAAUGUUUAUUAUUCAUGCUAGAAUUGUAUUUUCCGGAAACAUAAUACAUGUGUGAAUACAUAGACAAACAGAGUGUCACUAGUAUGCCUCUACUUGACUAGCUCGUUAAUCAAAGAUGGUUAUGUUUCCUAACCAUGAACAAUGAGUUGUUAUUUGAUUAACGAGGUCACAUCAUUAGUAGAAUGAUCUGAUUGACAUGACCCAUUCCAUUAGCUUAGCACCUGAUCGUUUAGUAUGUUUCUAUUGCUUUCUUCAUGACUUAUACAUGUUCCUAUGACUAUGAGAUUAUGCAACUCCCGUUUACCGGAGGAACACUUUGGGUACUACCAAACGUCACAACGUAAAUGGGUGAUUAUAAAGGAGUACUACAGGUGUCUCCAAUGGUCGAUGUUGGGUUGGCGUAUUUCGAGAUUAGGAUUUGUCACUCCGAUUGUCGGAGAGGUAUCUCUGGGCCCUCUCGGUAAUACACAUCACAUAAGCCUUGCAAGCAUUACAACUAAUAUGUUAGUUGUGAGAUGAUGUAUUACGGAACGAGUAAAGAGACUUGCCGGUAACGAGAUUGAACUAGGUAUUGGAUACCGACGAUCGAAUCUCGGGCAAGUAACAUACCGAUGACAAAGGGAACAACGUAUGUUGUUAUGCGGUCUGACCGAUAAAGAUCUUCGUAGAAUAUGUAGGAGCCAAUAUGGGCAUCCAGGUCCCGCUAUUGGUUAUUGACCAGAGACAUGUCUCGGCCAUGUCUACAUUGUUCUCGAACCCGUAGGGUCCGCACGCUUAAGGUUACGAUGACAGUUAUAUUAUGAGUUUAUGCAUUUUGAUGUACCGAAGGUUGUUCGGAGUCCCGGAUGUGAUCACGGACAUGACGAGGAGUCUCGAAAUGGUCGAGACGUAAAGAUUGAUAUAUUGGAAGCCUAUGUUUGGACAUCGGAAGUGUUCCGGGUGAAAUCGGGAUUUUACCGGGUUACCGGGAGGUUACCGGAACCCCCCGGGAGCCAUAUGGGCCUUCAUGGGCCUUAGUGGAAAGGAGAAAGGGGCAGCCCAAGGUGGCUGCGCCUCUUCCCCCUCCCCUAGUCCUAUUAGGACUAGGAGAAGGUGGCCGGCCCCCCUCUCUCCCUUCCCCUCCGAGGAAUCCUAGUUGGACUAGGAUUGGGGGGAGGAAUCCUACUCCCAGAAGGAGUAGGACUCUCCUGCGCCUCUCUCUUUGGCCGGCCAGCCUCCCCUCCUCUCCUCCUUUAUAUACGGAGGCAGGGGCACCUCUAAACACACAAGUUGACACAAGUUGAUCCACGUGAUCGAUUCCUUAGCCGUGUGCGGUGCCCCCUGCCACCAUAUUCCUCGAUAAUACUGUAGCGGAGUUUAGGCGAAGCCCUGCUGCUGUAGUUCAUCAAGAUCGUCACCACGCCGUCGUGCUGACGAAACUCUUCCCCGACACUUUGCUGGAUCGGAGUCCGGGGAUCGUCAUCGAGCUGAACGUGUGCUCGAACUCGGAGGUGCCGUAGUUUCGGUGCUUGAUCGGUUGGAUCGUGAAGACGUACGACUACUUCCUCUACGUCGUGUCAUCGCUUCCGCAGUCGGUCUGCGUUGGGUACGUAGACAACACUCUCCUCUCGUUGCUAUGCAUCACAUGAUCCUGUGUGCGCGUAGGAAAAUUUUUGAAAUUACUACGAAACCUAACAAGAACAUCCUAAAAUACCUGAAAAGGACUAAGGAUAUGUUUCUCGUAUAUGGAGGUGACAAAGAGCUCACCGUAAAAGGUUACGUUGAUGCAAGCUUUGACACUGAUCCGGACGAUUCUAAAUCGCAAACCGGAUACGUGUUUACAUUAAACGGUGGAGCUGUCAGUUGGUGCAGUUCUAAACAAAGCGUUGUAGCGGGAUCUACAUGUGAAGCGGAAUACAUAGCUGCUUCGGAAGCAGCAAAUGAAGGAGUCUGGAUGAAGGAGUUCAUAUCCGAUCUAGGUGUCAUACCUAGUGCAUCGGGUCCAAUGAAAAUCUUUUGUGACAAUACUGGUGCAAUUGCCUUGGCAAAGGAAUCCAGAUUUCACAAAAGGACCAAACACAUCAAGAGACGCUUCAACUCCAUCCGGGAUCUAGUCCAGGUGGGAGACAUAGAGAUUUGCAAGAUACAUAUGGAUCUGAAUGUUGCAGACCCGUUGACUAAGCCUCUUCCACGAGCAAAACAUGAUCAGCACCAAAGCUCCAUGGGUGUUAGAUUCAUUACAGUGUAAUCUAGAUUAUUGACUCUAGUGCAAGUGGGAGACUGAAGGAAAUAUGCCCUAGAGGCAAUAAUAAAGUUAUUAUUUAUUUCCUUAUAAUCAUGAUAAAUGUUUAUUAUUCAUGCUAGAAUUGUAUUAACCGGAAACAUAAUACAUGUGUGAAUACAUAGACAAACAAAGUGUCACUAGUAUGCCUCUACUUGACUAGCUCAUUAAUCAAAGAUGGUUAUGUUUCCUAACCAUGAACAAUGAGUUGAUUGAUUAACGAGGUCACAUCAUUAGUAGAAUGAUCUGAUUGACAUGACCCAUUCCAUUAGCUUAGCACCCGAUCGUUUAGUAUGUUGCUAUUGCUUUCUUCAUGACUUAUACAUGUUCCUAUGACUAUGAGAUUAUGCAACUCCCGUUUACCGGAGGAACACUUUGGGUACUACCAAACGUCACAACGUAACUGGGUGAUUAUAAAGGAGUACUACAGGUGUCUCCAAUGGUCGAUGUUGGGUUGGCGGAUUUCGAGAUUAGGAUUUGUCACUCCGAUUGUCGGAGAGGUAUCUCUGGGCCCUCUCGGUAAUACACAUCACAUAAGCCUUGCAAGCAUUACAACUAAUAUGUUAGUUGUGAGAUGAUGUAUUACGGAACGAGUAAAGAGACUUGCCGGUAACGAGAUUGAACUAGGUAUUGGAUACCGACGAUCGAAUCUCGGGCAAGUAACAUACCGAUGACAAAGGGAACAACGUAUGUUGUUAUGCGGUCUGACCGAUAAAGAUCUUCGUAGAAUAUGUAGGAGCCAAUAUGGGCAUCCAGGUCCCGCUAUUGGUUAUUGACCGGAGACGUGUCUUGGUCAUGUCUACAUUGUUCUCGAACCCGUAGGGUCCGCACGCUUAAGGUUACGAUGACAGUUAUAUUAUGAGUUUAUGCAUUUUGAUGUACCAAAGGUUGUUCGGAGUCCCGGAUGUGAUCACGGACAUGACGAGGAGUCUCGAAAUGGUCGAGACGUAAAGAUUGAUAUAUUGGAAGCCUAUGUUUGGACAUCGGAAGUGUUCCGGGUGAAAUCGGGAUUUUACCGGGUUACCGGGAGGUUACCGGAACCCCCCGGGAGCCAUAUGGGCCUUCAUGGGCCUUAGUGGAAAGGAGAAAGGGGCAGCCCAAGGUGGCUGCGCCUCUUCCCCCUCCCCUAGUCCUAUUAGGACUAGGAGAAGGUGGCCGGCCCCCCUCUCUCCCUUCCCCUCCGAGGAAUCCUAGUUGGACUAGGAUUGGGGGGAGGAAUCCUACUCCCAGAGGGAGUAGGACUCUCCUGCGCCUCCCUCUUUGGCCGGCCAGCCUCCCCUCCUCUCCUCCUUUAUAUACUGAGGCAGGGGCACCUCUAAACACACAAGUUGACACAAGUUGAUCCACGUGAUCGAUUCCUUAGCCAUGUGCGGUGCCCCCUGCCACCAUAUUCCUCGAUAAUACUGUAGCGGAGUUUAGGCAAAGCCGUGCUGCUGUAAUUCAUCAAGAUCGUCACCACGCCAUCGUGCUGACGAAACUCUUCCCCGACACUUUGCUGGAUCGGAGUCCGGGGAUCGUCAUCGAGCUGAACGUGUGCUCGAACUCGGAGGUGCCGUAAUUUCGGUGCUUGAUCGGUUGGAUCAUGAAGACGUACGACUACUUCCUCUACGCCGUGUCAUCGCUUCCGCAGUCGGUCUGCGUUGGGUACGUAGACAACACUCUCCUCUCGUUGCUAUGCAUCACAUGAUCCUGUGUGCGCGUAGGAAAAUUUUUGAAAUUACUACGAAACCCAACAAAGGCAUACUCUACUCCCUAAGUCUGGAGAUCACAAGAUGAUCAGAGGUCACGCGAUCAACUUGCUUCAUGUCUUUGACGUGCCUCAGAAAUUCAAGGUCAUGAGUCUCAUUAUGGAAACCAUUAAGAGGAUGGCUGCAGAUCAGAAGAGGAGCUGUGGAUAUGCCCCUCAGAUUCAGGAGCUCAACAACUCCAAGAUGGGCACGGGCAUAUACUUGUUGGAUAAGGAACACCUGCCCAUCCAUCCAGAUUUUGAGGAUAACCAAGUGGUUAUGACUGAGAAUGAGCCCUCAUCUGCCCAUGCAUUUGCAAAGAAGGAGAAGGCGAAGAAGGAAAAAGCUGCCAGGAUGCCUACUCAAGAGGAGGCAUCUGAUUACUUCUUGAAGACCAAACAAGAGCAGCUAGGUUACUUGAUUUCAUCCACGCUGAGAAUUGAGCAAAGUUUGGCCAACCUCACUAAGAAUCAGCAGAGCCUAGAGAGGAUCAUGGAACAGAAGUUCUAUGACUUGGAUGUCAAGGUACCAGAAGUUCAGUCUGUAGUGGAGCAGCUCCAGGAGGACAUGAAUGAGAGGAGAGGCAGGACCACGACUCAUGCUUUUUCUAGAGUGCCACGAGGUCCGAGGUCGUCUGCACUGCCAGUUGCUGACACCAGAGCCACUACUUCAGUACCAGCUACAGCCUCUGCUCCAGCGUCUACUUCAGCUCCAUCUCCAGCGACUACUUCAACAUCUACAGAAGCCUUCGUCCUUGGAGUGAUCCGGACUCCACCACCACCUGAAGAUCAAGCCUGAGCAUCGAUCUACACUAGUAGAAAACGGGCCAUUAGUACCGGUUUGUAAGGUCCUUUAGUGCCGGUUAUGGAACCGGCACUAACGUUUCGGCACUAAAGCCCCCCCCCCUUUAGUACCGGUUCAGCACAAACCGGUGCUAAAGGAGAACCACGUGGCACGAGCCAGCUCCGGGGGCCGGGUGCCCUUUAGUACCGGUUGGUAACACCAACCGGUACUAAAUGGUUGUGGGUUUUUGUUUUAUUUUGCAUUUUUCAAUUAAAUUUGUGUUAUCAAUUUAAUUUAGGAUUGUUUUACGUUAUAAUGAGUUGUAGUCGUCAUCAUCAUCAUCAUCAUCAUCAUCGCAUAUUAAUAAAUAAAUAAACUCUAGCUAACUAAAAAUCAUCGUAGUCGUCUAAUUACCACUAUUUAAUCAUCAUAGUCAUUACCGCGCUAGCUAUCUAAUCAUCAUCAACGCUGGCUAGCUUAAAGAGGAAACAUUCACUUUGUAACAGAAGCAAAGAUAUCAUCAAGUUCAACAUAAUCGUCACCAAGACGAAGUUCAGGACACGGACAUGAGACAAGUACUAAUUAAGAGCAUGAACUAGUAGCCACUGAUCCUGCUGCUCCCUCUCAGGUAGAAUAGCAUAGAACAUGUAUAGCUCUCCUGAUUCAUCAUACUGGAGCAUGCAGAUGAAUCUGUCUCCUAAUCUUGGGUUGCGCUUCACCUUACUGCCCCCUAGUACUUCUCUGCGAUCGUUAACAAUUUUGCUCCAAUCUUUCACUAUUAAGCAUUCUUCGCUUUCAGAAAUCCUGAAUGCACUCAUGUGCAAUGUAGGAAAUCUUGGUCGUAAGCUAACCAUUGACAUGCGACCUUUUGUCUCGAUCCACUGAGGCACAACUGUCAUCGGAAGUCCCUGUUGAACAACAUCGUAUAGUAAUUAAUAUACUAAGCAAUGAAAGUUUAGCUUCAAAAAUAAUGUAUGCAAAAGAUGCACUAAUUAAGGACAAAUAUUUAAAAUCUUACCAUCUUUUGAUUAUAGAUGUGACCGUAGUUCAAUACGAUCACCAUUGGUCGCACGUUUUGAGUACUAACAUUUCUAAGUUUAGGAAAAAAAUUUGUCUUGACAGUAUUAAGAUCCUCAAGCCAUGAAACAUAAUGACUUAUCUCCUCGCAGUUUAGUUGAGCCCCGGGGCAGUAGUAGGUCCUGUCUACCAAGCGCCGGACAUGUUUGCUUGAACCGAAAUAAGCUGACAAUACAAAUUAGUUGUCAACUAUUUUUGAACUGUAUGAAAGACAUAAACAUAUGCAUGCAUGGUUGAGAAAAACUCACGAAAUGGUAGAACUGGAGGCAUUUGCACAUCGAUCCAGAUGUCUAUAUUACCUUCAAUACCAUCUUCCGGACGAAUAUCAAAGGUGAUAACCAUAUCAGGCUCAAAUGCAUAAGCCUUGCAUAGUGCUUGCCAAGUUUUACAUUCAAAAUGGGUGUAUGUGUCUCCAUUAUAUAAUUUGACGUUGAAAGUAUACCCAUGCUCCGUCUUCAAGUAAACUCUCUUUACCUCCAUAUCAUCUAUAGCACUAAAACCUAUCUUAUCCAAGACAAAAAUUCUUGCAUGGCAGGGGAUGCGCUAGUAGAAUAGUGAAAAUUUAAAAUUAUAAGUUGAAGCAAAUGAAGCAUAAGUUUUGCAUUCAAAUAAUAAUUUACAAAGUGACUUACUGUAUCAACUUCGAAUGUCUCAUCCAGCUUGAUGCUGAAGCGCCUACCAUCAACAAGGAAAUUUUGGUCGCACAGGCCGCGCUGGUCUUCACAGUGUUCGCACAAAAUAAAAUCUUUUUCGUCGUCAGAUGACAUUUCCUAUGUUCAUAUAGGUGAAACAUUAAACACCUAUAUCUAGCCAAAUAUAUAUUCAUCUAACAUUUGACAUUAAUAUAUCUAACUAUAUAUUCAAUUGACAUUACUAUAUAUUUAACUUUUCUAUCUAAUUCAUCUAACAUUCGACAUUAAUCUAACAUUUAUAUAAACUCAAAAUAUAUAAAAAAUUAAAUAAACAGAAAAACUCAUUAACAAAUAAUAUUUUAAUUAGAUCAUCAAAUCUCAUAUACCUAANNNNNNNNNNNNNNNNNNNNNNNNNNNNNNNNNNNNNNNNNNNNNNNNNNNNNNNNNNNNNNNNNNNNNNNNNNNNNNNNNNNNNNNNNNNNNNNNNNNNNNNNNNNNNNNNNNNNNNNNNNNNNNNNNNNNNNNNNNNNNNNNNNNNNNNNNNNNNNNNNNNNNNNNNNNNNNNNNNNNNNNNNNNNNNNNNNNNNNNNNNNNNNNNNNNNNNNNNNNNNNNNNNNNNNNNNNNNNNNNNNNNNNNNNNNNNNNNNNNNNNNNNNNNNNNNNNNNNNNNNNNNNNNNNNNNNNNNNNNNNNNNNNNNNNNNNNNNNNNNNNNNNNNNNNNNNNNNNNNNNNNNNNNNNNNNNNNNNNNNNNNNNNNNNNNNNNNNNNNNNNNNNNNNNNNNNNNNNNNNNNNNNNNNNNNNNNNNNNNNNNNNNNNNNNNNNNNNNNNNNNNNNNNNNNNNNNNNNNNNNNNNNNNNNNNNNNNNNNNNNNNNNNNNNNNNNNNNNNNNNNNNNNNNNNNNNNNNNNNNNNNNNNNNNNNNNNNNNNNNNNNNNNNNNNNNNNNNNNNNNNNNNNNNNNNNNNNNNNNNNNNNNNNNNNNNNNNNNNNNNNNNNNNNNNNNNNNNNNNNNNNNNNNNNNNNNNNNNNNNNNNNNNNNNNNNNNNNNNNNNNNNNNNNNNNNNNNNNNNNNNNNNNNNNNNNNNNNNNNNNNNNNNNNNNNNNNNNNNNNNNNNNNNNNNNNNNNNNNNNNNNNNNNNNNNNNNNNNNNNNNNNNNNNNNNNNNNNNNNNNNNNNNNNNNNNNNNNNNNNNNNNNNNNNNNNNNNNNNNNNNNNNNNNNNNNNNNNNNNNNNNNNNNNNNNNNNNNNNNNNNNNNNCAUGUGUGUGUGUAUGUGUGUGGUAUAUGUGUCUGUGUGUGUGAGGCCCCGUACGCGGCCGCCCCGUACGUACGAGCGGGGGCGCCGGCGUACGGGGCGGGGGCGCCGGUGUGUGUGUGUGUGUGUGUGUGUGUGUGUGUGUGUGUAUGUAUGUGUGUGUAUGUGUGUGCGGGAGCGAGAGAGAGACGUACGGCCGCGGCGAUGGCGACGGACGGCGGCGGCGUUCGGGGCGGCAGCGCGAGACGACGACGACGACGGGCGGCGGCGGGGACAGCGACGAUGACGACGGACGACGGGCGGCGAUGACGGGAUCUAGCGGCGCGCGCGGCGGAGGUUGAGACGAAGUGGGGAUGAAACUGAAAUUUUCGUGAGAGCUAUAUAUAUAUAGGGAUGGGCCUUUAGUACCGGUUGGUGGCUCCAACCGGUACUAAAGGCCUAUUUUCGCCAGGCCAAGCGGCAGGAAACGAAGGCUUUUAGUACCGGUUGGAGCCACCAACCGGUACUAAAGGGGGGGCCUUUACUACCGGUUGGAGCCACCAACCGGUACUAAAGGCCUUGCGCUGCCACCCCAAAGUUUAGUCCCACCUCGCCCGGCGAAGGGCAGCCGCACUGGUUUAUAAACCCAGCCGCGGCUACCUCUUCGAACUCCUCUAUAUAGCAAGCUUCUGGGCCUAAUUAAUUAGGGCGCGCUGCCCUGUGAGUCUGCUGGCCCUCCUGGGCCUGCAUUUGCACACCCUAGGUCUGGCAGACCCACAGGGCAGUGCGCCAACAAAUUUUUUAUAUAGUUUUUUCUUUUCUACAUUACUUAUUUUCUUUUAUUUAUUUUUGAGUAGUUUUUUAUAUAUUUUUUUCUUUUCUGCAUUAUUUAUUUUCUUCUAUUUAUUUUUGAGUAAUUUUUUGUAUAGUUUUUUAUUUCUGCAUUAUUUAUUUUUGUAUAGUCCGAAACCCUGAUACUCGGAAAGAGUUUUUCCAGUUUGUACACGAAGUCCGUCCAGUUUUUGCCGUGACCCUCUCUACUCUUUCGCGCAUGCUAUGCGGGUGAUAUGAUGAUACCAUGCCAAGUUUCAACAUUUUCAGAAUUCAUUUUGUAGUGAUUUUCAAUUUCACGGUCAUUUAGCUCUCUAAACAAUUAGGUAAAUGACCGAAAAACAACAAAUGAUGUCAGAACAUGUUGGAAAUUGAUGACGUCGCUUUAAAUGCUGCAUACUGAACACAAAAGAAGUCCGGAGUUCAAAUAAGUUUAAAAAACAUUGAAGUGGCCAUGUAACAGAUGAGUUCUCGUCCGAAACCCUGAUACUCGGAAAGAGUAUGUCCAGUUUGUACACGAAGUGCGUCCAGUUUUUGCCGUGACCCUCUCUACUCUUUCGCGCAUGCUAUGUGGGUGAUAUGAUGAUACCAUGCCAAGUUUCAACAUUUUCAGGAUUCAUUUUGUAGUGAUUUUCAAUUUCACAGUCAUUUAGCUCUCUAAACAAUUAGGUAAAUGACUGAAAAACAACAAAUGAUGUCAGAACAUGUUGGAAAUUGAUGACGUCGCUUUAAAUGCUGCAUACUGAACACAAAAGAAGUCCGGAGUUUAAAUAAGUUAUUAAAAAUCAAAAAGAGGUGCAAUGCUGGUUAAUUUGCUUCAAGCCAUUCGGAAUAGUGUAGACUGCACUGCACAUAGCUCAGUGCAAUCUAUGCUAUUCCGCAAGGCCUGAAGUUAAUCAACAUGUAGGUGAGCAUUGCAACUUUUCGUCAUUGUCUGUGCACUCACGGCUCAUAAACCGCUCAUACUGCCUCUCUCUUGGCGAAGAUCACAAGAUAGUUUGGUUAAAUUGCAUUACUUGUAAGUCCAGUUAACAUGGAUGCUUAUGAUGCAAGAGCAAGAGCAAAAGUGAAAAUUUGGCACAAAUAGGUAGUUGUGUAACUAAAAUAGGUAGGAGGAGAGAUAGCUCUUAUGUCACAAAAAAGAAGUUGUAUCAAACCUUUUAUGUCGGAUCUAGAACAAACCAAUCGGUAUCGCCAUCAUACAGCCCAACCGUGGCUCGUGAUGCAUAUAUAUGCAUAUCAAAUGCACGGUUGGACGUAUGAUGGAGAAUCCGAAUGAUUUGUAUUCAGUCGAUGAACUGGUAGAUGUAUGCAGUCAAUGAACUGGUAGAUGUAUGUAGUCGAUGAACUGAAAGACUUAUGCAGGGAAGGCGAGAGGUGGGCUAUAUAUAGGGUCGUCUGGCUCACAAAGUGAUUGUGGUAGUUUCGAUCCAACGACUCACAUGAGCUAGGAAGAAACACACCCUUGAUCCAACGACUCGCAAGAGCUAGAAAGAAACACACGAUCCAUGUGAUUCUUCCUGAUUGGUGGGAUGCACAUUAGUACCCACUCCGGACUCCGAAACCCUGAUACUCGGAAAGAGUUUGUCCAGUUUGUACACGAAGUGCGUCCAUUUUUUGCCGUGACCCUCUCUACUCUUUUGCGCAUGCUAUGCGGGUGAUAUGAUGAUACCAUGCCAAGUUUCAACAUUUUCAGGAUUCAUUUUGUAGUGAUUUUCAAUUUCAUGGUCAUUUAGCUCUCUAAACAAUUAGGUAAAUGACCGAAAAACAACAAAUGAUGUCAGAACAUGUUGGAAAUUGAUGACGUCGCUUUAAAUGCUGCAUACUGAACACAAAAGAAGUCCGGAGUUUAAAUAAGUUAUUAAAAAUUAAAAAGAGGUGCAAUGCUGGUUAAUUUGCUUCAAGCCAUUCGGAAUAGUGUAGACUGCACUGCACAUAGCUCAGUGCAAUCUAUGCUAUUCCGCAAGGCUUGAAGCUAAUCAACAUGUAGGUGAGCAUUGCAACUCUUCAUCAUUGUCUGUGCACUCACGGCUUAUAAACCGCUCAUACUGCCUCUCUCUUGGCGAGGUGGGACUAAAAACAGCUUGCCAUAACCUCAUUACUACCGGUUCGUGGUACGAACCGGCACUAAAUGGUGAUGGUGGGGCCAUAGCCUGACCGCAGGCUGACGCAGCCUCUUUAGUACCGGUUCGUGGCAUGAACCGGUACUAAAGGUUCGCCACGAGCCGGUACUAUUUAUCGCCGCCACGAACCGGCACUAAUGUACACAUUAGUGCCGGCUCUAAUUCAAACCGGCACUAAUGUGCUUCACGUUUGACCCUUUUUCUACUAGUGCUAGUGCUAUGCAUUUUCUAGGAACUUUUUGGUAACUUGUUGCCAAAGGGGGAGAAGAUGUAUAGAUCAUAGGCUUCGAGAGAGAGAGUGUUGCUUUUCUCUCUUGUUUUAUUUGGUGGUUUUCUUUGAACUUUGUUUGCUUGUGUGCCUGUGAGACAUCGAUGAUCAUGUGUUUGAUCAUAAGCUACACUUAAUGUUUGCUUGAUGCUUGCUUAAAUAUUAUCAUUCUAUCUAUCGUUUGUGAUCAUUCACUAUUCUUGGUGAUGAGUGCAUGUAUUUCAUUCUUAUCAUUUUGAGCGCUUCACCAAGAUGUAUGUGACAUGGAAGAGUAACCGAUGACUCUAACUCUUUGUGCAUUUGCAGUCCAAAGCAAAUUUUAAAUAUGCACAAAUUUAGGGGGAGCUCUUACUUAUCACAUACUUCUCAAAGCGACAAUACAUUUCAUGCUUAUUAUCAUUUGUCGAAGCUUUGAUCUAUAUGUUGUCAUCAAUUACCAAAAAGGGGGAGAUUGAAAGUGCAACUAUCCCUAGGUGGUUUUGGUAAUUCAUAACAACAUAUAGCUCAUUGGGCUAAUACUAUUUCAAGAUAAUUAUUUCAGGAAAGCUCAAUGAUUGGCAUGGCAUGGAUGUGAAAGUGGAACCCUCAAAAUGCUAAGGAUAAUGGAUUGGCUCAAGCUCAAAAGCUCAAGACUCUUCAUUUUAUAUUUUAGUGAUCCAAGAUCACAUUGAGUCCAUAGGAAAAGCCAAUACUAUCAAGGAGGGAUGAGGUGUUGCUUAAUGAGCCUCUUGCUUCAUGUGCUUAAUGAUAUGCUCCAAAAUCCUCAACCACUUUCCCACUUCCACAAAUGACCAAAACUCUAAGCCAAACUCGGUCCUACCGAUUUUUCCUAUCCGGCGCCACCGAGUUUCACUUGUCAUUAGCCAUUGCCAAACCCUAGCAAUUCGGUCCUACCGAUAAGGAUCUCGGUCCCACCGAGAUGGGGUUGCAAACUCUCUGUUUCCCUUCCGUAACUUUUCGGUCCCACCGAAAGAGCGAAUCGGUCCCACCGAGAUUGCAAUGUAAACUCAGUGUUUCCCCUUUGUAACUUUUCGGUCUCACCGAGUUCCACUCGGUCUCACCGAAAGAGCAAAUCGGUCCCACCGAGUUUGCCUGACCAACUCUCUGGUUAGCUAAUUACCAAAUUCGGUCUCACCGAGUUUGUGUAAUCGGUCUCACCGAGAUUACGUUAUGCCCAAACCCUAACCAUAUCGGUCCUACCGAGUUGCAUGUCAGUCCCACCGAAAUUCCUAACGGUCACUAGGUUUACUAUUUCGGUCAGACCGAGUUUAUUGAUUCAGUCCCACCGAGAUUGGAAAACUGUGUAACAGUUGGAUUUUGUGUGGAGGCUAUAUAUACCCCUCCACCUCUUUCUCAUUCCAUGAGAGAGCCAUCAGAACACACACAUCAUUCCAACUCAUUUGUUCUGAGAGAGAACCACCUACUCAUGUGUUGAGACCAAGAUAUUCCAUUCCUACCAUAUGAAUCUUGAUCUCUAGCCUUCCCAAGUUGCUUUCCACUCAAAUCUUCUUUCCUCCAAAUCCAAAUCCUAUGAGAGAGAGUUGAGUGUUGGGGAGACUAUAAUUUGAAGCACAAGAGCAAGGAGUUCAUCACCUACACACCAUUUGUUACUUCUUGGAGAGUGGUGUCUCCUAGAUUGGCUAGGUGUUACUUGGGAGCCUCCGACAAGAUUGUGGAGUUGAACCAAGGAGUUUGUAAGGGCAAGGAGAUCGCCUACUUCGUGAAGAUCUACCGCUAGUGAGGCAAGUCCUUCGUGGGCGAUGGCCAUGGUGGGAUAGACAAGGUUGCUUCUUCGUGGACCCUUUGUGGGUGGUUGCUUAUUCGUGGACCCUUCGUGGGUGGAGCCCUUCGUGGACUCGCGCAACCAUUGCCCUUGGGUGGAGCCCUAUGUGGACUCGCGCAACCGUUACCCUUCGUGGGUUGAAGUCUCCAUCAACGUGGAUGUAGGAUAGCACCACCUAUCCGAACCACGGGAAAAACAUCCGUGUCUCCAUUAUCGUUUGAACUCUCCAAACCCUUCCCUUUACAUUCUCGCAAGUUGCAUGCUUUACUUUCCGCUGCCCAUAAACUCUUUGCAUGCUUGCUUGAAUUGUGUGAUGAUUGCUUGACUUCUUCUAAAAUAGCUAAAAUCUGCCAAGAACUAAAAUUGGGAAAAGGUUAAGUUUUUAUUUGGUCAAGUAGUCUAAUCACCCCCCCUCUAGACAUACUUUUGAUCCUACAGACGUCCACUUGACGCGUGGCUCGCUGGUCCUGCCCCCCUGCUUCUUCUUUUCCCUUUCCUCACCGGCUCAGGCGCCGGCUCCUCCUCCUCCUCCUCGCCGUAGUCGAGGUCGUUGUCCAUGUCGCCGGCGAGGUCCAUUGUAUCCUCUUGAGCCUGGAACCCGGGGGAAGAAGCGGCGGCGGUCGAGCCGCUCGUGAUGAUCGCGUCCAUGUCGGCUUCCGUCGCGUCGGUGUUGCCGAAGUGCGAUGACGAGGCUUGCGAGAAGUGCAGGGCGCCACGACGCAGAGGCGCCGUCAGGGAGGCGACGUAAGUCGGUGGUGAGUAGGUGUACGGGGGCACUGGACGUCGCCGAACGCGGGCGAGGGCGUGCGCUGGUCGGGAUUCAGACCGGAGUGUGAGGCGCGCUAGCCAUGCGGAAAGGUGAUGUUCGGGUUGAAUCCGCCGUGUGCGUCGCCGUCGGCGUAACCAGGUGACGGUGGGCACCCCCAGGGCUGCGGCGACAGCAAGAAGCUGGCCAGCGACCCGACGCUCUGCUGGCUCCAGGCAGCUUGCGGGCCAUGGCCGCCGGGUGGAUUCAUCAUCCCCGCAUGAGACGCCGCUUCCGCUCGCUCCGUCGCCGCCCUGUCCCGGGCCCUCUUGGUUGAGCCUUUUCCGCCGAUCGGUGUUGACAGCCUCACGGCGCUGAACCUCCGCCUUCUAGUCGGUGUUCGACAUGCCCGGUGGUUUUGCAAGCGGUGCCCUCAGCUUCCUCUGCUUCGGCUGGGUGGCAUCGGCAAAGGCAGCGUCUGGAGGAGCCGUAUACUUGUUCGGUGGCAUGGCGGGAUGGCGGCUGGAUAGUGGGGAGAGGGAGGAGAAUGGCGGGAGAAGAGAGCAGAAGGGGGGAAUGGAGGGGAAAGCGGAGGAUGGGCGGAAAAAAGUGCCGUCUCUCUCCGACAGAGCGGACCCGCAUGCCUUUUUGCUUCAGCCGGCGGUCGGCGCCCCCAGGCGGCCUCCGGGGGCUUGGGUUCAGCUCGGGUUUGCCGGCUAUUAUUUCAGCCCAAACCGGCGAUAAACAAGGUUCUGGGGGCGUGACUGGGCCGAUUUUCCGGCGCUGGCGCUAAAAAAUGGACUGGGGGACCUGUUGGCGACGCGGCUGGAGAUGCUCUUAUAGUGGAUGUUCCAAAGACAAUAGUAACACACAUAACGGACUACAAUUAUAGUGGAUGUUCCAAAAGCUUUUUUAGGGUACCCUCUAGUGAAUAAGGACCGUCCAUCCGCAAAAUCAAACGGCCAUGACCGACCUGUACUGCUGCAAUCAGGCCAACAACAUGGCAAGCAGUAUUAAUAGCACUGGUCGUUCUCGACCAACCAGUAUACAUGUUCUAAGGUCAGCUUCUACGAUUCACCCCGCGCCGACCCACCCCGCCCGUUGUUCUCAUCUACGGACUCUGGUAGAGUUCCGGUGGCCACCGCUGUGCCUCCUCUUUCUUCUCCAGCGUGUCGUUGGUGGAGUGGGCUGUGGUCGAGUUCCAGGCGGUGGUAAACGGGUCCGAUACCGACUGGGUCCAGAAGAAGAGGCUGGCUCGGCUAGGGUUCCUCUUCCUUUCCUUCUUUAUAUAGAUCGAUACGGCACCGCCGCCUCCCCCAAAUCCCCGAACCAGCGCAGGCAACCAACAGACCAACCAACCUCGAAACCCAAGAUCUACGUCGACAGCAGAGGAAUCAUCGAGAAGAUCAAGGCCAUGGCGGGCAAGGACGAGGCUGGGAAGUGGAUGCUGAGGCCUUGCAGCGCCGCCAAGUCCACGGAGGCCGACGACCAUGGUUCGGCCAAGUGUAUCUUGAGGCCUUGCAGCGCCGCCAGGCUCACGGAGACCGGCGGCCAUGGUACGGCGACGCGGUUCCCCUCCAAGAGGAAGGCAGCCGCCGGAUCCAGCUACAAGGAGGGCGGCGAUUCUUUCGAUUCAGACAAGGGGGAGGCUAAGAUGGACAAUAUGCUUGGGGAGGCGAAUCUGCCGUCCGUCGUCGCCAAUCAGCCGGCCGCAGCGCCGCCAGGUCUGACCAAGGGCAAAGUCCGGUUGUCGAAAGCCGAGAUCAGGAACAUAGUUGCCCUUAAGCCGGAGAAACUUCCCAGCGCCGAUUACCUGGACGAUCUGGCAGAGUAUUUUCCUCCGGAGUGGAUCGAGGAAAGGAAGCGCGCCCACGCUGACAAUGCAGAGCUUUUCAAGAAGAUGGACGACGAUUUCGAAGAGUACCGGCAGCAGGUCCUCACGUCUGUGUGGGACAAGGGCUACUUCGAGGUUGAUGAAGACUUCAUCGCUAACAGAAACAGAGCCAAUGAGUUGGGUCUCGAACUACAGAGGCGGAUUCUCUCGCCUAUUCCCGCCAAGUAUUGUGCUACCCCGGAGGACAGUAUAAGGGAUGCAGACGGUUAUAUCCCAUACGUUCCUGACCAAGAUGAUGCUCUUGUUGAAGAUCUUGUGAUUGAUGGUCAAGUUGUGGUUCUCAAAGAUUAGGCUUGAAGACAGAGUGCAGGGCGCCAAAUUCAACUCAGAAGAUGGCUCGUUUUUAUUAAUAUAUGGGUACUAUUAGCAUAUAAUUAAUCUGUGUUAUGAUGGAUCCUUCCACCCGUCCUUGUUAUCUGUCUAUGUUAUUGGCCCAUCUCCUGCUGUGUUAUACAGUAGUAGUACUUGGCAAUGAACCCAAAACAGUUUUAUCGU
Molecule: long non-coding RNA, 51007 nt
Filed under: Triticum aestivum (bread wheat)
Lineage: Eukaryota; Viridiplantae; Streptophyta; Magnoliopsida; Poales; Poaceae
Description: long non-coding RNA (TAES_LNC014004)
Source: RNAcentral